AGUGAUCGAUAACGCAAAGGAGCAACUUGAAGAUCAAUGCCCUGGCGUCGUCUCAUGCGCUGAUAUACUUGCAAUGGCUGCUAGAGAUGCAGUCUUCUGGGUAGGAGGCCCCUUUUAUGAGAUACCAAAAGGAAGAAAGGAUGGAAGGAGGUCUAGAAUAGAAGAUACAAUUAACUUGCCUUUUCCCACUUCCAAUGCCACUGAGCUAAUUAGACAAUUUGGUCAGCGUGGUUUCACUGCUCAAGAAAUGGUUGCUUUGUCCGGUAAGCAUAUAUUAUACAUAUGAUAUGUAUAUACAAUUGAAAUAUAACUAGAAAUCAAAAUAACAAGAAGUUAAACAUGUGCGUUUAAUUGGAUAUAUAUAGGAGCACAUACUCUUGGCGUAGCAAGGUGCGCAUCCUUCAAAAAUAGGCUCAGUGGUGGUGAUAUCAGCGUCGACUCAGAGUUCGCAAAGACAUUGUCGAACACAUGUAGCGGUGGAGACGACGCAGAGCAGCCCUUUGACCCUACAAGAAACAGUUUCGACAAUCUUUACUUCAAUACGCUUCAAAGGAAAUCUGGACUUCUUUUCUCCGAUCAAGCUCUGUUCACCAGUCCACAGACUCGACCAAUUGUCAAUGGCUAUGCUUUUAACGAAGCCAUGUUCUUUCUUGAUUUCCAGCAGGCAAUAGUGAAAAUGGGGACGCUUGAUGUGAAAGAAGGAUCCAAAGGCGAAGUGCGACUUACUUGCCGCCAAAUUAACUAAACAACUACGUACCCACUAUUAUUUUAUAUAUUAUUAUUAUUAUUAUUGUAUCAUUAUUGGAUUUGGAUGUAGUAAUAAUAUAAUUAAACGUUACAAAUAUCAUUUAGAUAAUAUAAUCACAAUUUCGUGAGUCACUCAACCACUACAUAUAUACUAGCUUUACAAAUGCAAGCAUUUCAUCUUUAGAAUAUUUUUUCACAAGACGAUGGUAUUUUGUGGGAAAACAAAUUCAUAAAAUUAAUUGGUAAAAAGAUUGUUAACAUGUAAAAGUUGACAGAGCUUGAUGAAAUAUGAUCAGCCUCGCUCUAAAAGCUGAUAAAUUAUAGUAAAAAGACUAAUUAAACAUCUAAUUAGCUUUUUAAUUAAUAUUUGAAACUGUAAAAAUAUGGACAUAAGAGGUACUAAUUAAUAUUUGAAACUGCAAAAACAUAGACAUAAGAGGUACUUAGGUAUAACGAACCUAAAAUAUAAAGGUAUUAUAAUCUAUUUAAAAAAAAAAAAAAUAUAGAAAGAUAAUUUCGAUUGCUUUUUCGUUGAAGUAAAAUCUGUUUUAAGAGUUGCAUGGAUAAAGUCAUUAAAAAAUGAAAAUUGGUAGAGUGACUUUUUGGGCCGGAUCCAUUUUAGAGGGACACUAUUGGGCCCAUCUGCUGACUGCUGGUUAGAAAUCGAAAUCAUCUUCUCUUACGAUUUAAGCAAUUAAUUCUAAUUUCUCAGAUCCAAAUCGAAUUCGAGGGAGAAAGAGAGAGAGGAAAAUGGAGAAGAUGAACCAGGCAUUUGAGAAGAUGAAGAUGCUUGUUGGAAUGGAAGUGGACGACGAGGACCUAGCCGCUGCAGAGGACAGCAGUUCCUUCUCUUUAUUGGACGACUUCAAUCGCAACUGCACUCUCUCCACUAAACAGGUUUCUCCAAUUUCUUCUCUUUAUUUUUAGAUUAAGCUCUCUUUCUCUCUUUAAAUCAGCUGCAACUCACUGUUUUAAUCAACUCAACACUGCUUGUACCCUGUGUUAACUAAAUUGACCUAGGAUUGAAGGAACGUCAAUUGCUUGAUUUACAUUUCGAAAUUAAUAUUGUAUUUCAUUUUUACGCAUUUUAAUGCAUAUUCUGUUUUUUCUCCUUCUCAUAUGAACAGAGGCUUUACGGUUUCGUCAUCUGCUUUGUUUCUGGCUUAGCUUGUACACUUUUGGUAAGUUCAACCAUCAUCAAAUCCAUCAUUCUUUCCCUUGUCAUCGCUCUUGUAACUUGUAACUGAAGAACUAUUCCUUCUUUUUUUUUUUUUUCUGAAUAUUGCUCUUCUCUCUGCUAUUCGCCUUUUCUGUUUACAGCUGGACUCUAUGGUCGAAUUAGUAAAUUAGCCAUAAGUUCACGGUGGUAGGAGAAGGAGCGACUCUUUCAAUUUGAAACUCUUGACUUAUCCUUUUCCCGCUAUUUAACUUUUUAGUUUUGAAUUUGUUUAAAUAUGUAUGCUUGCAUUGCAACUGCUCAGAGGUUUUGAAUGGGACCUACACGUGUUAUUUCUCAAAGACAAAUUUGUUACCUUUGUCCAUAAAAGGUCAUUUGAGUAAAAUUUACUUGCAUCUGCUAAAAUUUGAUCAGUCUGUUGCAAUUGCCGUUUAUUUUUCCUUUCCUCUUGAAAUUUAAAUUUUUGCGUCAAACGCUGUAAAGAGCUCUGGAUUAUGUCCAAAAUCUGUGAACUAGAAAAAUUGCAUAUUUAACGCUAGAUUUUUUUAUUGGUGAUGUAAAUAUGAGGCAUGAAGCAUUAUUAUUCGUUUUUCUUUACAUUAGGUCAUAUUGAUAAUAUCUGAGUUAGACAAAUUUGGUGGCUUUUAAAUUAAUUAAUUUGUUUUCUCUUCCAUGUCUCACAGUCAAUGCUGGUUUUUUUCAAUCCAAUUAAGUUUGGCAUUGCAUUCACAUUUGGCAAUUUGCUUUCACUUGGAAGGUUUGUAUUCUGCUAAAUGGAUCGUAAUUUGUUAUAUAUAUAUAUAUAUAUAUAUAUAUAUAUAUAUAUAUAUAUAUAUAUAAUUGCACACCNNNNNNNNNNNNNNNNNNNNNNNNNNNNNNNNNNNNNNNNNNNNNNNNNNNNNNNNNNNNNNNNNNNNNNNNNNNNNNNNNNNNNNNNNNNNNNNNNNNNNNNNNNNNNNNNNNNNNNNNNNNNNNNNNNNNNNNNNNNNNNNNNNNNNNNNNNNNNNNNNNNNNNNNNNNNNNNNNNNNNNNNNNNNNNNNNNNNNNNNNNNNNNNNNNNNNNNNNNNNNNNNNNNNNNNNNNNNNNNNNNNNNNNNNNNNNNNNNNNNNNNNNNNNNNNNNNNNNNNNNNNNNNNNNNNNNNNNNNGUGUUUUUUUAUAUAUAUAUAUAUAUAUAUAUAUAUAUAUAUAUAUAUAUAUAAAUAUGUCACUAUUUAUUUUGAGACUCUCAUCAAUCAAUAAUCUAUUAAUUCUAUGUUUUCAUGUGUAUUUUCCAUGUCCAUUACUGUGAUUUCAGAUACUAAGUUGGAGUAUUUUCUGUGGCAGCACAGCAUUUCUCAUAGGGCCAAAGCGUCAAGUGACUAUGAUGCUUGAUCCUGUUCGUAUAUAUGCAACUGCCCUAUAUCUUGCGAGUAUAAUCAUUGCCUUGUUCUGUGCACUAUAUGUAAGUUACUUUUUCCCCCCUUAGUUCCUGAUUGUAACUAUUGUUUUGCAUCAGACAGGGAAAUAAGUGACAUUGCAUAAUCUGUCUUGGCAUUUGAUGAGCAGGUCCAUAACAAACUUUUGACGCUUGUGGCAAUUAUUCUAGAAUUCAGUGCGCUAGUUUGGUACGUUACUAGUAUUCAUGUGUUUCACUGUGGACAUUUUAUUUCAGUUCCAUAGAAUCAAAUUGAUUAUAUUUCAUAUUUGUUAUAUGCUUAUAACCUUUUUCGAUGCUUUAAGUAUAGCUAACUAAUGUCAAAUGCAUGCCCCUAACAAAACCAAGAUAUGAGUAAAAUGUUGGACAAAUUAUCUGCUGUUUGUUGUUUCAAUGGACUUCUCAUGGAUGUGUUCAGGUGAACUUGUAAUGACCUCAAAUUCUAUACAAAGCCUACCAAUUGGGUUACAAUGAUUUGCAUUCUGUUUUUUCUCGGGUAAAGGUACAAGGGGUCUUGUAAAGCAUGAAUUCUCUUUGGCUUCUGUUUUGUGCAUUAGAGCGUUGACAGUAACAUUCUAAUGGCUAACAGUCUGACAAAUCAAAGUGCAUUAUUGUUCUAUUGAGUCUGAAGUCUUAUGGUGUACAUCAACUAUAUCUGCUGAAUCAUUGUGUGUUCUGAUGAAGAACUGAUUUUGAAAAUCUCUUAGGAAAAAUAGUCGAAAAAUAGUCAACUUCAUUGGUUUAGUAUUCCAAGGAAAGAAGUUUUAUUUAUAUAUAUAUGGCAAGUUAAAUUUAAUAUUUUCAGCCAUAUGUAAUGUUGUUGGCCAAUGCCAUUGAUGAAUUUUAUUUUUAUACUUGAUUUCAUCUCACUGGUAUGGAAGUGAAAUGGCUAGUUUAAUCAAUCCGUAUUUAUGUCUUCAUAUGGCUGUGAAUGAUGUGAGUUUUCCCUUUCAUGAUUUACAGGUAUAGCUUGAGCUACAUUCCCUUUGCAAGGUCCAUGGUUUCGAAGGUCGUGUUAGCUUGCUUUGACACUGAAUUUUAGGUUGCUAUACACUCUCAGUAGAGAACAACGGAUGUAUUAAUUGUUGAGCAUAAUUCGACAUAUAUGUAAUCAAAUUUUCUGCAGGUGUAUUCUAGGCUAGUCCAUCGUAGUUGUAUGUAAAAAUUUGACAUGGGUACAUGAUAGAAAUAUACGAAUGGUCAGAAAGUUACAUGGUUGUGACAUUACCGUCAAUGUCUUCAAUAUUUGCCCUUUCUUCACCAUCAAUACUAAUAUUAGUGUUAAUUAUGCGUCGCAUGGGCUUCAUAUACCGGAAACUGAAAAUUGUCUAGAUCGUCAUAAGUUUUACAUGUAUAUGAUCAGCUAAGGACGAUAUGAAUUCAACAGUGCCAAAAUAUAUGACCGCUUAGAUCUUAUUUGGCAUUAUGAUUGAAAAUUUUUUUUCAAAAAUUAUUAUUUCAGUUGCUGCUCAGAAAAGUAGUUUUCACAGUUCUGUUUGGCUAUAUAUUUUGUAGUAAGUUUUAUAAUUAAUAUAUAGGAAAUUCAUCUCAAAAUAAAUUUUAAUAAUCUGUAAUAAACAUUUUCCUUCAAUAAAAUGCUAAACAUACCUUUAGGCUUAGCCGCUCUCCCUCCAUAAUUCACCAAUAAGGUGUCUUCUUUCUUUAUUAAUUAUUCCUAAAUGCAGCAAUUCACUAACAAGGUGUCUUGUUUCUUUAUUCCUAAGUGCAGCAGAACAGUAAACUUGUGAUCGUAUUCUGAUUUUAUUUUUUUUUUAUUUUUUAUUUGUUUUAAAUGUAGGUAUCUCCAGCCAACUUGGUUUUUAGACCGGAUUGAUCCACUAAGAAGUAAAGUUCUCCUACUGAAUAUUUACUUUACAUAUAAAGAUCUAACUCUCGAUCUCGCUCAAAAAAGAAAAAUGUUCGGUUAUCUUAAUUUUUUAUUAUUGUCACUUUCCCUUAGAUGAGACCACAAUUAAUCAAUUACUAAUAGGCUCACAUCAUUAUCCAAGCGUAAAGCAUGUAUUAUGAAUACUUUAAACGGUGUUAGCAUGAACCAUAUCAUUAAGACAUAGAACAAAGAAAAGAAAUUAAGAUUAUUUAGCAGUCAAGCAAAUCCACCGUCCAAUAUUAUAUGGUAAAGAAAAAUUGGAAUUGAGUGCAUUAAUGUAUUAAAAUUAGGAUCAUGGAAGCAUCAAUUAGUGCCUAUGUUUAUCAUAAUUAUAACCCCUAAUUCUACUUAGCCAUAUAUAUUAUCAAUACUUUCUUUAAUUUGACCCAGGUAUCCUAAGUUUAAUUAAGUUGAAGUUAGAUAUGUGUCAAGUCCAAAAAUAAUUAGGAUUAGUAAAAAGUUUCUUUCUGCACAUGCAUCCUACUUAUGCUUAAUGACUUAAUUAUUCAUUCAUUUCUAUCUAUACACCGAUCAAGUAACUUAAUUUUACCCUUUAUGGGAUGCUAAUGCAUAUAAUCCAACUUUGUAGCAGAAAAUAAGGUCCCUUCUUCUUUUCAAUGUUUCCUUUUCUUUUAUUCAGUUAAAAAAAGAGAGAGAAUGCUUGCUAUAAGUACCAAAUUAAGCUGUUGGAUGAGACAUUUAUUUGAUUGUGAUUACCUUAAGCUAUAGUAGUUCCCUUGGCAUUCAUUAUAUUCUCCUUCAUUUUGGAUUGGACAUGGCAUUGCCUGCCAACCUUAAAAUUCCAAUGAUCAGAAAUAUAGUCGGUAAGUAAUCCAAGUAGUUGAGCGUUAAUUUGACCAGCAAAUGCUUUUGCAUCUUUUUCAACUAUUAUAAUAAAUAUGUUUUGGGGUUGUUUAGACGAUUCUUAUAUGCAAAAAUUUAAUUUGGUAGGUACUUACUAACGAUUACAACGUCCUGCAAUCGAAGCAUUUAUUCAUGCAUACCAACAGUGCGAAUUAGUGAUCUGUAAAAUCAAAUGAGACCCGAGGUUUUGAAUUGCAAAAUCUUAUGGGUUAUAAGAUCAUGAUCAUGACUAUUCCAUGCAUGCACCACAGAAGCUAACAAACAUGUUCAACGUGUACGUGUAAAACCGCAAUGGCAUCUUUAUUUGUUCCGCCCAAACAUUAAAAAGAAACAACAUGAAAACGUACAUAGAGGACUAGUGUAGCUAGAGCUUUUCCUGGAUUCAACCAGUUAUGUCAUGAAGUAGAAAUAAACUUUCUUGACUGCGUAAUCGUGGAUAUGUGCCAUUACUCAAAAUUCUGGCACAUUCAAGCCGGAAAUCUAGACUAUUACACAUGCCACCAAAGCACAUAGUCUUAAAGAACGAAAACACAAUUAAGAGGAAAGCGUAAAACACAAUAUGAAGAGCAUGUGGAAGCAUAAAUCGUAAAGUGAAAAAGAAAGUGCUCUGAUUCUAAUUAGGUGAGGAGUUUUUCUUGGCAAACUGGUGCUUGUUGUUGUGCAUCCAUACUUUGAAAACUCUCCUCUUAAUCCCAAUCCCUUGGCAAAGUCGCUGCACAGCAGAUUCUUCCAGAUUUUGCAUUUUCCAUCCAGCCUUCUCUGCAAAGUUGAGCAUCUCUUGCUUCUGUUCUUCUGUGAACUUGGUCCUGAAUCUCUUUUUCGGCUUCUUCUCAACUGGACUAGUUGCAACUGCUCCAUCUCCAUCAUCAUCACCAUUACCCUUCUCAUCAUAUUCUGAAGGGACUGAACCGCUUCUGUAGGAUACUAUCAUCUGCGGAGUUGGCGAUCUCCUUGAGGAAAGCAAGGGAUUAAUAAGAUAUCCUUGUGGUGGUCGGCUGCGAUGGCCUAAGACGAGUGUAUUUCCAGGAUUGUAGCCAGAGAUCAUAGGAGAGUGAUACGAAUGCUCACCAUCUAUCUCUUUCCUGUGAAAGUUUCUGUGGCAGUUGCAGGCUGAGCACCUGAGGGCCUCGAGGGUGCCUUGUUCACCACUUGGCAUGAAUUCACCGCACCCAUCUGUUGCAUUCCCACCUAUAGCUGCUGCAUGGUUCUUGAGGCAUUCCUUGUAACUCACCACUUUCUUGAAGGGGCUUUGGUCCUCCAGCAGGAUUGAAGGGGUAUUUCCACCGGAGGUUGGUUGGGAUACUGAUGAAGUAGCUAUAAUGCGGCCAUUUUCUGCUCUUGCAUAACCGCCAUUUCUUGAGAAUGGAAUGUCCUUUUGUGGGCUUGAGUUAUUCAUCUCUUUUUCUCUCUCCAUAAUAAUAAAUCAAUGUGUACUUUUUCUGGACGUUAUCAAUUCAUCCUCGCUCUCCCUCUUUCAAAGUUGAUGCGAAGGCCUAUAAUCUUUAAAAGAUGCAAACUUUUCUGUUUUUGCUCUCUGUAAAUUGGUACAAAAGAAACAAAAGGACUGAGGCGGUAUCUGUAGAAGUGAAAUGUAACAGAACAAGGCUAAGAUGAAAAUGAUCAAUGAAAGCGGACCUAUAAAAAUUCAAGAAAUUAAGCGAGCAUUGAAUACUCAGUGGAAGAUGUCCAGCUUAAAUGUUUCUGUUGGCAGGAUACACAUUCAGUCUGCUUUUAUGGAGAGAGAAGGAGCUAAUGCGAUAGAAAAUUGAAGAAAUAGGUUGUAGAGGGUUAUUUUGCAAGAGAAGCAACGAGCUAGAGCUUAUGUAAAAUAUUGCUGAUUGAAUGAGUGGCGGAGGGUUGAAGUGAUUAAAGUGAUUAAUGGUGGAUAUUGGUUCUAACUAAUUUAUUUUGAGAGAGAGAGUUGCAGGGGGAUAAAUGUGAAGACAGAGUUUUAGGGAUAGAAUUAAAAAUUGAGAAGACUUGCUUUGCUUCGCUUGCACUUGCAACCAUCAGCUACCUUUUAAGGCUGGGCAGUAAAAGUGUGCCAUUUAUUCUGAUGUAUCAUUUAGGUUGCUGUUAUUACUUGUUACUUGUUACUUGUUACUUGCAAGUGCCAUGCAGAGGAAAAGACAAACAAUUCUAAUUAAGCAACUGCGAUGCGAUGUAUCAUUUUGGUCAGUAUUGUGAGUGCAAUUAUACAUGUUAUAAGUUCCAUAACUUGCUGCCUGCAUUGUGUCCACCUAUUGUAGUAAAACUAGUUUAAAGUUUAAAUGUUAAUAGAUAGAUAAAGUACAGUAUAUUGCUUUACUUUUUUAAAAUUAAAGCUUUUUGGUUUGGUUUAUUAGUUCUGAAUUGGUGGCUUGGUGCAUGAUUUGAGCUUUUUGAAUUCCCAGAGCUAACAAAACUCAGGAACUUAACUGCAAACAUGGAAGGUGAGAUCUUUGUCGUGACAGGUCAUGGCCAUGGCCAUCUCCAUCCCUGCAUCCAGCUCUGCUACCGUCUCGCUAAACGGAAUUUCCAUACCACUCUGGUUAUCUCUUCCUCUCUCUCCUCAGCCAUUCCUUCCUCUUUCAUCCGAAACCCCCUUGCCUGCGUUCUUCCUAUUGCUCCCUCUGGCCCUCUCAGCCCGCAGUCUGCCCACGACCUCCACGCACACCUCGCUAACAGGUGCCAUAUUUCAGAUUCGCCUCGGCCUCUCUGCGCUGUUGUUGACUUCCAAAUGGGAUGGACAAAAGUAGCAUUUUGGAAAUUUGGUAUUCCUGUGAUAAGCCUGUUUACUUUUGGCGCGUGUGCUGCCGCCAUGGAGUGGGGAGCUUGGAAGGUCCAAGCUGGAGACCUUCUGCCCAGUGAAGCCCGUUUAGUCCCUGGAUUACCUCAAGAGAUGGCGAUUACUGAUUCCGAUCUUAAAAGAAAAGUGUUUAUGCCUGCAGGCAAGGGUAGACGGGGUGCACCUAGGCCCGGCGACCGGCCUCCAUGGGUCCCUGAAAUUGAAGGCUCAAUCGGCUUGAUUUUUAACACGUGCGAUGACAUUGACGGUCUGUUUAUCAAAUACAUGGAGGAUCAGACGGGCCUUCCGGCUUGGGGUGUAGGCCCACUCUUGCCGGAAAUAUAUUGGGGUUCAACAUCGUCGGAUUCUAUUCGCGACGGUGUAAUUGGGGAUCAUAAACGGGAAUCCAAUUUUACGGAGGAUGAGGUGUUCCGAUGGUUAGAGUCGAAGCCACGUGGAUCAGUACUGUACGUCGCUUUUGGCAGCGAGGUGGGUCCUACUAUGGAGGAAUAUCAACAAUUGGCCAGCGGAUUAGAAGAGUCGACCCGCCCAUUUAUAUGGGUCAUACAAACGGGAAAAGGCUAUGAUAGCUGUGGGUUAGACUUGGAGACGCGGGCGGGAGAUCGAGGUUUGAUAAUAUAUGGAUGGGCACCACAACUGCUUAUACUGGGCCACAGGUCAGCGGGCGGAUUUCUAUCACAUUGCGGGUGGAAUUCCACUAUGGAGGCAAUUGGGGUCGGAGUGCCCAUCUUGGCUUGGCCCAUUAGAGGAGACCAAUACUAUAAUGCUAAGUUGAUAGUCAGUUAUCUGAAGGUAGGGUAUAGGGUCGCUGAUGAUUUAGCAGAAAUGGUCAACAAAGAUGACAUAGUGAAAGGAAUUGAAAAGAUAAUGGAAGAUAAAGAGAUGCAUGAGAGGGUUUUGCUUAUCAAGGCAAAAUUGAAAGAUGAUGGUUUUCCACCAAGUUCUGAAGCUGCAUUGGAUGCUUUCAGGGAAUUCAUCAUCAAUCCAACAAGCAAUUAAUUACUUUCCAAAAGUACUGUCCUUUCUUUAUGUAAAAUUAACAAUGGAUUGUGCUCUACCUGUUGCUUAUAUUCUUUAUAUUCAAUCUGCGUAGGCUCCAGACUGUUCUUAUAUUUGAAGUUAAGUAUGGGACUAUUGUAAAUAGUUAGUUCGGCCUUGACAGACCAAACCGAUCAAAGUCAAUAAAACUGAAAUUUUUUAACACCUAAAUCAAAUACAACUGAUUUCUUUAUAUAAUCAAGGACUGGUCCGAUUUGAUUUCUAGUUUUGAUUUCCUUUUAGAAGCUUCAUAGAACAACCUACUUCAUAUAGAAUAGACAUCUAAACAUCUAACCUCUGUACGGUUUAGACGUUUCUUGCAAAACAAGUAGAUAAAGUUUUUGAGGUAAUGGUAGCCUCUCUGUCCUUUUCCAUUAUCCCGCUAAUGUAAUGGUGUCUCAUCAAUUUUAAUUUUCACACACUAAAAUUGCUUACUUUAUCAAAAAGCGUUAUCUUUUGCCAAGCUCAACCGCUUGGAAAUUGUCACUAGAGCUUUGCUUUUGAAACUUCCUUGUUAUAUCCAGCAGUGGAGUCAUUUAUUUCUACUUAAAUGCUUGACAUAUGAGUACAGCUAUUUCAGAAUUGCUAAAUCAGAAAUAAUUGAUCAGCCAAAUCACACAGUGCUCAAAUUUGUAGUAUUGCCAAUGCAGUUAGGAAGAACCAAGAGAUUAAGCUGGUCACAUACCAUGUUUGUUACAUAACAUAGCUUCAGUAAGAUUUCCCAUCAGUCCGGCUUCUUCAGGUAUGGAACCUAAAAGCUUAUUGGUAUACAGGCUCAUCACAAGUAGCAAGUAGGAGAAGUCCAGAAAAUUUAGGAAAGAUUUUCAUUCAGGAAGGAACGGUUCCAAAGGACAAAGACGGAUGCAAAAUAAAUCAAGCCGCAAAGAAAGUGGAGAUGCCAAGGCUCAGUAUCCAUCUUACAAGAGUCCAAUUGCUACUUCAUUUGAAACAACCACACUAUGUAUAGUGCAGCAUAUAAUACAACUCUCAUUUCAGAAUGAAUGCAUUGAGGAUCAUAGCAAUGUGACAUAAAAAUAAUAACAAAGCACAAAUCAUAAUAUAAGCACAAAUUUGUAUAUGAACAACAUCUUAGAAGUAGUUACAGGAGUUUAUACUUCAGCAUUAUGGCUUUUAUUGCUCUGCGAAUGGAGAAUUAACAAAGCAGUGUAGCACAUUCAUUCGGCAGCAGUGAACUGAUAAGAAGCAUAAGAAAGGGAACCAUUGCUCCAGCUGUGAUGCACAAGUUUGGCCUUGGCAUUUUCACCUGCAGCACCCAUUGCCACAUGCAAUGGGUAAAAGUGGUCUGGAUGAGGAUGAGCCUUUUUUGCCUGAGGUGCCCUCGCAUAAAAGUGAUUCACAUCUUCGUAUCUGCACAAAAGUAACUAGCAAAGUUGAAACUAUAUAUGGAAGCGAAUAGGUCCAAUAGUCUAAAACUUGAUGCCCUCGAGAAGUAGAGAGCUGCUGAAAAUCUGAAAGAAGAAAUUGAUCUAAAUUGACUUGGCAUCCUCGUGUGCAAAACUCUUACUCAGAAACAGAGUUUGAAGUAUUGACUAUCAAACGCGUAUUCAAAAAGGGCAUGAUUAUAGACUAUUAGAAAGUUAGAAAGGAAGACAAGUUGAAAUUUCAAAUGAGGUAGUAGCAGUAUCUUUAAGCCAAAAUUAAAAUGAUACAAACAUUAUUUGAGACAAAAAUGAUGUACCUUCCUUGAAGAAGAGCAUCUUUAAGCCAGGCAUCAAACUGCAAAGCCCAAGGAGGAGUAGGAGCGCCAUUAGGGUAAAUGUCCCUCAAGUUGUGAGUAGUAGCUCCUGAUCCAAUUAUGAGGAUGCCUUCCUCCUUGAGAGGGGCCAAUGCCCUGCCCAUGUUAUAAUGGUAAGUACCAUCUUGACCUGAUUGAAUAGAAAGCUGACAAAUUGGGAUGUCAGCCCCCGGAUACAUGAACAUCAAUGGAACCCAGGCACCAUGAUCAAGUCCCCUUUUUUUAUCCUCAUGAACAUGCUUAAAGCCGGAUGCCAAUAGCAGUUCCUUCACCCGCUUCCCCAACUCCGGAGCUCCUGGCGCUGGGUACUUGAGCUGCCAAAAUUUGUUUGAAACAUUAGAAUUAGAAACAUUUUGUUGAGCUCAAUCAGGCUUUUGUUAGAAAUUGGAAUCUUUAAACGGGAACAACCUUUGCGUUUGAGCCAUAACCAUCAAUUAUCAAUCAAUCUAAAUCAUUACACGUCUCGAUCAAAAUUCAAGCACAAAGAUAAAUGCAGUUGAAGAAAUAGAAAACGAGUACCUUGUACAUGGCGUCGGGGAAGUUAUAGAAAUCGUAGAUGGUGUUGUUGCGGUCAACGACGUUAACGGCUGGUUCACGGGUAUCCCAGUGGCCGGAGACCAUAAGAAUGGCCUUUGGCCUGUCUUUAUAUGUUUCGUGUCGCCACGAUUGGAAAAAAUGUCUUGCCUGUAUGCUCUCGUCUAUUGACAUCAUCGGCGACCCGUGAGAUAAGUAAAACGUUUGCUUCACAGCCAUUUUCCAAUCUUUCUUUUCCGACCAAAAUCAAUUCACAAGAAGAAGAGAAACCAGAGAGAAUGAAAUUGCUGGGUUCUUUUUCAAAAUUUUGUUUAGAAAUCAAUCGAAUUUAUAGUUUCUAACAUAAAAAACCAGAGCUGACCGUCGUUACCAACUCACCAUUAUUAAUCUUAAUUGUUAAUAUUUAAUAAAGUAUAAAAACAAAAAAAUGUAAUACAAAUUAUUUAAAAUGAUUUUAAUUAAAAUUAAUGAAGUCAAAUCGAUAACGUAGACUAAAAGAGGAUGUUAGUUAGUCGCGUCAAAUAAGGGAACAUCCACGUCAGAUCAGCGGAUUUUAGGUAUUGAUUUCUGUCGAAUUAAACCUUUUCUAAAAAAAAAAAAAAAAAAAAAAAAUUUAAAGAUUUUAAUUAAAAUUAAUGAAGUCAAAUCGAUAACGUAGACUAAAAGAGGAUGUUAGUUAGUCGCGUCAAAUAAGGGAACAUCCACGUCAGAUCAGCGGAUUUUAGGUAUUGAUUUCUGUCGAAUUAAACCUUUUCUAAAAAAAAAAAAAAAAAAAAAAUCUAUAAAUAAAAUUCUAGGUGGAUUACAAUAAUACUGAUCAACACACUACCAAACACGCCAGUAUGCACAUGCCCAGAUACCGCCAUUCCAUGAUAAUACAUCCAAUAAAAUUUUUUUGAAACAUUCAAUUUUUUAACCAUUUAAGCAAUGAUCAAUAAGCACAUUUUUUUUGCAAGUUAAAGCAUUCAAUUAUAUUUUAUUUUAUAAGUUUAAAAGUUUAGUAAAUCAAUAUAAAAAUUGAGUGCACCUCUAGAUUUUUCUUAUAAAAUUUAAGUGUUAUGCAUUUAAUCUUGAAGGAGGCCAUUCAUCGAAUUUCUAACAUUCAAGAAUCAAGAAUAUCAUGCAUACAAGUGAGACCGUAUGCACUCGUUAUUGUAAGUGUGGCUAAAACAUGCAAGAGCAAGACACUCGCAGUCUGGACUCUGGAGUCUAAGGUGCCGCAAGCAACCAAAAUAGGAGAGCCAGAAAAAGAUGUAAUCCCUGAUUAUUUAACAAUCCAUCUUUGAAAAUAAUGCAACCCGAAAGCUAGCUCCCGCAGAUAUCUCUUCUAGAAAGACCCUCUCCUAACUUGGAAGUUCUCAUUUCCCUUUCAAAACAGGAAUCACGAUCUCUACAAGGUGAAAAUGUAGAACAGGCGUAGAAGAAGUAGAAGCACUCUUUAAAUUAGAUUCCGGCAUUCUACCAUAUUCUCCAGUGUCAUAUCAGAAUGCCUCCCAUUUCCACACAGACUGUAAAAUAGCACCCAUAAUUGAGGAUAUCACACAGAGCCUGGCAAUCAACCUAACAGCAAAUGAGUUUGCCAUGAAUUUUACAGAAACAAAUUUCCUAUUACAUUACAUGCUUGUUAUGUAUGUCAUCAAACAAAUUUCCUAUAUGAAAUCAAGCUGGGAGUUGCAAAUGUGUACAAAAAUGGUAAAUAAAAGUCAUGUGAUGUAUGAAAAUAGUAUCAAUAUUAACAAAAGAAUUCACUUCUUUCAGGUGAUGUCAGGCGCAAAUACCACCUAGCACCAAUUAUCAUGCUAGAAUGAUCCACACAAUUUCCAGUCAUUCAUUAGGGCUGCACAACUCAUUUUAGAGGCAAUCAUCCAGCCACAAAAAAGCAGGCACAGAGGCUUUCCCUCAAAACACUUUAUUUUGCAUAAGACAAAAAAAAAAAAAAAAACAAACAAAAUAGAGAUUAUUUUACCUCAAGUCCUCUUCAAUCUCUUUCUCUUGGAUGCUUUCUUUGGAUUUUUCAAUGAUUCAGUAGCAACAGCAGCAUAAGCUCUAAGUUUCCCAAGAAUCCUCCUCUCACUCAAACGUAACAUCAGAGAAUGGUACAACUUUCUUUCUUCCUUGCUACAAGUUUUUGCAGCUUCAAUAUCAUCCUUCAUUGAACUUAAACCGUAAAAACUCUCCCUUCUGUCAGCAAGCCACAGAAGAGCACUACAAACACUUUUUGUCAGCAAGAAACCUUUAUUAGCUUCUGACCUUUUAAGCCAUGUGAUAUUGCAUUUUUCUGACAAAAUCAUGCUGAUGGAUUCCUUAUAGUUAUUUGCAGUUGAAACAGCUAGAUCCAAUUUGCAAUAUUCGUCCUCUUGUAACAACAUUAUAUACAAUAAAAUCAACAACUCAAUUUGUGGUUCUCCAUUACAUGAGAUCUCAAAGUAUUCAGCAUUCUGACUAACACAUCCAGAAUAACCUGAUUUUCUCCAAAGGGACAGCCUUGCUCUGCUAUAACGGCCAGAGAACAGUGAUGAACUCCAUUUAAGUACCAACUCCAAAUCAAUAUUGACAAUGUCAUAUGGAUUAUCUGGCUCUGUGAAACCAUAUCUAUGAAGCAAUGCAGCAUUACCUACUAACCCAUAUGUAUUAAAGACCUGAGAUGAGAUCAAAAGAGUAUUAAAAAGAACAGAUAUGGAAGAGCUUUUUCCUACAUCAAGACAUUGGCCCUACAGUAAUCGUAGAAUUACUUAAAAUGAAAAAAUCAUUUCAUAAGGCAGUCAAAGUAGAGCACAAUACCCUUCAUGACAAGCAGAAAUGAACAGUUUCUGUUCUUGCAGUUAAGAAAAUUAAACACCAUCAAGGCCCCUGUCUAGUAAGCAUUCCUAUUAGAGGCAAAUUGAUAUUGAUUCAGGUAUGUCUCAGAGUAGAAGUAACUGGGAAAACUGAAUUCUUAGUUAUUCAAUCAACGACCAACCAAUUUAUCAUUGACACUAAACCAACAAAUCAAAUAUAAACUUCAGGUUACUCUGGAAUUGCUCCGUUACAUUACAAUGCCAAGUACAUGUAGUUCAAAAGUUCCAUAUGUUAGUUUCAAAUGAGAGAUCUGUGUUCUAAUUUUCAAGUGUAAAUGUCAACACUCAAAUCAUCCAAGACCCAUAUUUCCUGAAUCAUGUUAUUAAUCAAGAAAACAGAUUCCCCCAAUUAUUCAAAGAAAUGAGUUUAUGAAACUGAAACCUUAAAUUCCAGAUAUUAGAAAUGCUAAAAUAGGAAUAACACUUGAUAUUAUAGAAAUGCCAGGAAUAUAUUAUAUUUGUAAAUCAGAAACAUAGGUGCAUUCUGGGGAAGAAAAAUAAACACAUAAAGACAGAAAGAAGAGAAUAGUGACCUCAGCUCCGGCCUUGACAUCUUUCACCAUUAUCAUUUCCAACAAUCUGGGAUCGUCUAAUUCGCAUCCCAGUGCACUUGAUGGUUCCUUAUCAACAGUAUUUUCAGUAUAACAACCAUUGGUGUUGCUUUUGUCAUCAUCAUCAGAUUUAGAAUCAGAAGACCCCGAGGUGAAGUGCACAUCCUCUGCUCCAGUCUUGUGAUUAAAUCUGUAUAUGUUGGAGGCAGAACAAAGAUUAAAGGAAGAAUAACUCUAUAUAUCGAUCAUGGCAAUAAACUACCAGUGGUAAGAACCUAUCCAUAUCCUAAGACACUUGACAAAUCAUCCACGACAGCACUAGAAUGAUAAUACGAGAAUUAAGCGCCUUCAGAAGUAGGCACACUUACAGGUCUGCCAAAGGAACCAUCCCAGACCCAUAAUAGUCAUCUAUCUCAAAAGAACGAGAAGCAAUAAGACUCCUUGCAGCAAAAUAGUUCUCAGGACCAAAGAAAUGUGGAACAAAAUGUCCCGUAUCCACGAGAGGCAGUAUAUUCUCUUUCCAAUCGUCAUAUAUAAGGGCUUUGUCUUCUUUCACAACCUGCCUACAAGAGUAGAAGAAAUUACAAAGGCAGUGGCAUUGCGAAAUGAUGCAAAUAUUUGCUAGCCUAAAUAAACCAAAAAAAUAGCGCUAGUAAUACUAGAGAGGGCAUAUAGAAGAAAAGUUGCAAAUUUAGAGUGUAUUACCUUGUGGAGCUCAGUGCCGAAAAGAAGUUGAUCGACUUCAUCAAGAGUCCAAACCAAGGGCAAGCUCUCUCUGUCCGGCAAGAGCUGAAAGUAGGCAGCCCAGGGCGAGUCGUUCCCCAAGCUCUUUUCAUACAUAAGCGCCACAGAGAGUCCCAAACAACCGCCCAAACCGGCGGCUUCGAUAAUGUCGCACGCUCCACUGUUUUUGAUGGUCAGACAGGCGGACUUUGGAAUUGUGGCAACCACCUCUCCUUCCCUCAAAUCUCUCAAUGCUUUCACGGAAAUGCCUUGUUCGGGAGUGUGGAUGAACUCGAGAGCGUCGCUGCUCCAUCGGAUGCCUUGGGAGAUCAUCCACCGCUUGAAAACCCUCAACUGCCUGCUUGUUCAUUUAUUUUAGCAAGAUUGUUGAUCAGGGAGAUGAACGGAUAGAAAAGAAUUCGAGUUGGAAAGCAUUCUUACCUGGUAGCCAUGAGUCUGUCAACUUGAGGCACAGUCCGGCGAGUGCUGAAGCUCUCUUUCAUAGGGUUGUUGUGUUUUACUGAGUCGGAUUUUGAUUUUAAAAAAAAAAAAAAAAAAAAAAGAAAAAAAGAAAAGAGAGAUGGAAACCACGUAUCUUUAUCUCUAUUUAUUUAUUUUUUCUUUAGGAAAAACAAUAAACAAUGUUUAAUAGUAAUAAUAACAUAAACUAACAUCAUUUAAAGUUAUUUUAUAGUUUAGCGAAGUCGGUUUGGUUAAUAAAAGAGAAGACGGGCUCGAUGCCUCUCCAAUCAACAAAACAGUCCAUGGGCUGAAAGCUUAGCAGCCCUAACAAGAAAUUGGCGAACUCGCAAGCACUUCGCAAUUUUAUUGGCAGUUUAAACGAGAAAGGGAACUGCGCACGGACACAAACCGUAAAAAGACACACCAAGUGAGAGAGAGGUGCAACGAGGGCGUACUAUUUGGUGGAGAGAGUAUCGGAGAAGGUAAUGAAGCUUCUCGCACUUUUUAUUUUUGUUUAAUUGUGUUAAUUUCUCAAAUUUGAAUUGUGUAAAUGUUUUUUUUUUUAAAGAAAGAUCUAGGAAUUGGUUAAGUGCUGCUUGAUUCAGAGUGUCUGAAUUUGUCAUUGGCAUCGUUUUUUUCUCUUUUCUCGGUGAUUUAUUUCAUCUUCCUACUGUUAAUUGUUUAGGUUAUUUGAACGUACCUUGCGAAAGUUGGUUCCUUUCUUAGGUUGUGUAAAACUAUAAUCAUUAGUUCAGAUUGUGUAAAACUAUAAAUAUAUUGACCUUUAAUUUCUCAUCUUUUUAUAAUUAUCGAGUUUUAUUUUUGUGUGUGUUGUUAUCUGCACUUCAAUUAUUUCAUUCCUCCUGUUCUCUUCUGGGUAAAGAAUCUGUGUCUUACUUUUAUUUUUUUCCGAUUAAGCUUUCUGGACCUCUCACAUAUUUUCAUUCUUUUUUAAUUUUAAAGCUUUAUAAUUUAUACUUCUUUUAUUUUCCAUGUGUAUUCCGUUGCCUCAUAAAGUUUAUUUCUUGUUUUGCAGUGGCAAUUGGCAAAUGCUCUAUUUAUCAGAGGUUAAAAGACCGGAUAGUCUUUUCUGCGCUUAGCAUUUCACUUCCUACUAGUUUAAUUUAGUCGUAUAGUUAUAUAUUUUAUUGUCUGCAAUGAGUAAUGCUCCAAAAAGAUCUCACGAUGAGGGUGUUCACUCAUCUUCAUCAAAGUACCCGCACGAAGAAUCAGGCUCAUAUCCUAAGCUGACAUCUGGGAUUUCAACCGAAUACCAUCCUUCCUAUGAGAUAGCUUCAGAUGCUCGGAUUGCAAAAAUUCCCCGUACUGAAUCUCGCGAUGCUGAUAGGAGAUCACCUUUGCAUUCAAUAUAUCGAGUGUCUUCAUCCUCAAAUGAUUUGCAUAUGGAUGCUCAUUCUGUUGCUUCUGAAACCAGGCUGGAAUCAAGAGAUUCCAAGGACAGCAGGGACCACAGAGUUGAAAGCCGAGAUCUGAGGACUGAAGCAAGAGAGAUGCACAGUGAGGCAAAGAGGGAUUCCCAAAGUUCCAAAGUUGACAAGGAUUCAAGAUUUGAGAGUAGAGCAGAUGAUAACAAGGAAAUAAAAUAUGAGAAGGAUGCUUAUAAUGAUCCAAAGAAUGACGUAAAGAUGGAAAAGGAUGGCUUUAGUGUGACAACUAGUCAGUUAAAUUGGAAAGAAUCAAAAGAAUAUCAUAGAGGAAAGAGAUAUACUGAAUUCCCUGGUGGACAUGUGGAUCCGUGGCAUAUGUCACGCGGUAACUCCCUAGGCCCAGUUGAGAUUGUGAAGGAAGGCUCAACAAUUGAAGAGAGGGAUUAUGCAGAAACACAUGAGGCUGUUGGUGAGAACAAAGUUGAUUUCAAAGGUGAGGAUAGAUUUAAAGAUAAAGAUAGGAAAAGGAAAGAUGUAAAACAUCGAGAAUGGGGAGAUAGAGACAAGGAAAGAAGCGAUCGUAGGAGCAAUCUUCAAGUAGUUAAUAAUAGUGGGGAGGGAAAAGAAUCAGCUAGGGAAGAGAGGGAAGCAGAGAGAUGGGAGAGGGAUAGGAAGGAUCUCUCAAAGGACAGGGAAAGGCAAAAAGAGAGAGAAAAGGAUCAUACCAAGAGAGAAUCAUGGAAUGGAGUAGAGAAAGAGGUUCUGGACAAUCAGAAAGAAUCGGGGGAUGGAUCUGGCAGAGUGACAGAGCAGGAAAAUCCAACUUCGGAGCAGAAGAAACAAAAAGAUCUUGAGAGCUGGAAAAAUGUUGAUAGAGAAGCUAGAGAUAGGCGGAAAGAAAGAGAUGCUGACAUGGAAGCAGAUAGGCCUGAGAAGCACAGCAGGUUGUAUGACAAAGAAUCAGAUGAUGGAUUUGCAGAUGGUGGUGAUGGGCCUGCAGAAAGGGAAAGGGAAGUUUUUAACUAUGGAGUUCAGCAACGGAAGAGGAUGCUUCGGCCCAGAGGCAGUCCUCAAGUGCCAAAUCGUGAGCCCCGUUUUAGGUCUCGUACUCAGGACAAUGAAGGGUUUGUCUUAGUUUCUCAUACGUGGAUUUGUUUUGAAGCAUUUUUGCCAGAUGAUUGAAUUUGCUAUUUGUGUAUCAUGUAGAUAUGUACUUUAAUAUACUCAAUUUGCACACAUUGCCUGUUAUAAUCAAAGCUAGGUUUGGAAUCCUUAUUGGUUCACUUAAUGCUUCCUCCCCCAGAAGUCACAGGAAUAAGCCACAAGUAUUGGAACUUUUAGGUUUUAAAAUAUAGUGGGAUGUGAGAAUAACCUUUGAGAAUUUUGUCAUAAGGAAUGAAAACGUAUUUUAUUUCCUUUGGAGUAUUUGUUAUGACUCAUGGUUUGAAAGCAAUCAUAUCAUUUUAUUUCUAAACAAAUUCCAUAUGGAACUAACUUACAAAGUAAUUGCAUUGGUUCAUUUUUCUUGUUAUCAUAACACUUGUUCUAAGAGUUACUUCUUCACCAUGUUUGUAUUAUAGCUAGAAUGGUAUAUAUAAGUUUACGUUAUAAUUAACUGUGAAUAAUUUUGAAGAGAAAGAUUGCUGUUUUUCAAAUGUGUAGUUACCAUGUGCAUUGAAUUUCAGAAGUUCAUGUUCGCAUUCUUGAAUUUGUAUACUUUAGAGAUUAAUGACUUGGUAUAGAUUAUCUCUCUUUCUUCUCAUUUUAAAUGUUUGAUUAACUCUAUUCUUAUCCUUUACCACUUUAUUUUGCAGGUCCCAAGGUGAGCUGUUAUAUAUCAUUUGAUUGGGCCAGAACUUUAUUUGCAUGAAGUGGUUAAUAGGAGUUUGUGAAUCGUUGUCCUGAUAUUAGUUUUAUCAUAAAUUACUUUUGUCUGUACAACUCCAAGCCUCCAAUUUCAUGUCUUUCAAAUUAAAUUUUUGACAUAUAUUUCUAGUUUUGGUACUAAAAUUAGUUUGGAUGUAAGCUAAGAUAAAAGUAACUUUGCCCGGGGAAGGUUUCAAGCAUGUUGCAAUUUGGAGGCGACUAUUUGAUAAUUGGCACUGCAGAUGAUCUCACUCAUAUUUUCUUUUCCCGUUGGAAGUCAGCAUGCUAAUUUAUAUAGUCAUUAUCAUUGUUGAUAUGAAGGUACUAAGCAAUUAUGAAAACUAUAUCAUCACAAGCCAAAUUUCUUAAAUAUGCUGAAAAUUUAGUUGUUACCUUUUUCCAUAAUGUUUUUUUUUUCUUCUCUAAAUAGACAUUACCUUAUGUGAUUUCCUUGAGCUUGUUAAUAAGUUGCUUAAUUAGCUUUUCAGAGAAGUAGCAUAACAUCACCAGAACUCCUUGGAAGGAUAAUUUGCACCUAUAUAUUUUUUUUCUUGUUCAAAAAAAGUCCUCAUCUAGUGUCUACUAGUGCUUGGAUUUUUUGGUCACGAUACGUGGUGCGUACUGUUCUGAACUAUGCUUAUCAUAGUAAAUAUUGAUCAAUUUGCACUUGAUGAUGGGUAGGGGAAAAAGAAAAUUUGCAAGCAUUAGAGUUUUAUGAGUUACAUAGUUCCUUUGUUAUAACUGUUAAAUUCAAUAGUUGUUGGUGCUUCAGGCAAAUCCGAGGUGUCCUCCGUUGUUUAUAAAGUUGGAGAAUGCAUGCAAGAUUUGAUAAAGUUGUGGGAGGAAUAUGAAUCAUCUCAGGUUGAAAAAAAUGGUGAAAGUACUCUUAACAGUCCCACACUUGAAAUUAGGAUACCAGCAGAGCAUGUUACUGCUACAAAUCGCCAAGUAAGAGCCUGCUGUUUUAUGUGUCAUGUUGCUGAUGCUUUUCUCAUGCUUAUUCUAUAAGCAUGCUUUUUUAACCUUUUCAUAAGAGGGGAGAAGUGCUGGUAUUUUUAUGUAACAGCAGCUAUGGUUGUUACUCUUGCAUAUUCAGGAGUCUUCCUUUGGAAUGGCAUUUAAUCUAAGGAUCCUUUAAAUUCCCUUACAUAAUGGCUCUUUUCUAAUUCAACCAAUGAACUAUUGUUCACCAAGUAAAGACUGACGUAAACUGUUUGUUGCAUGUUCCUAUUCCUUGUCCUUAUGUUUGUGGUUCUUUUGCUCUAAUCUUCAAUAGUAGCAUUUUUGUUUAUAGGGUUGCACUGGUUUGGCCAUCAAUUGAAGUUGCUCAAUCUGUCUCCUCCUGCUUGCUCUUUACUUCUUAUAACCAUGUUUAUGCAUCCGUUUAAGUUAUUUGAGCUCAUCAAUUGCAGGUAAGGGGUGGCCAGCUAUGGGGUACAGAUGUAUACACAGAUGACUCUGAUCUUGUUGCUGGUAUGUGGUGAUACGAUGCAAUUUGUACAAUUAAUUUUUCUCUAGUCUGUUGAUUGUUGAUAUUACUGGGAUACAGAAACAAUCACUUGUUGCAACUUGUUGCAGUUCUCAUGCACACAGGUUACUGCCGUCCCACUGCUUCUCCUCCUCCAUCUGCCAUUCAAGAGUUGCGUGCUACUAUCCGAGUAUUGCCUCCACAAGAUAGUAAGCUCCUUUAAUCUGGCUUUUCUGCCUAUUUGGAAUUUUGGGAUUUCAAAUUGGAUCAGAACAUCCAUUUAUAACAUGGUAAUCCGUGGACAUGAUUACUGGUGUGAGUCAUGGAUUUCUGUUGGAUAAAUUUGCCACAUCUAUUUAUAUGUUCAUUGUUUUAAUAAUUUAAACAAUGAAAUUUCAAUGCCAAGUGUACAGAAUAUUGGUUAUUUAAUUGAUUUUUGAAAUCAGGAAUACACUAUGGAAGGUUAUAUUCCGUCAAGGAUCAUGUCUUAUUAAUGAACUGUCUAAUGAUCAGAAUCUUUCUGGCAUCAAUCUGUAACGAUUUUUUUUCCCCCGUUGGCUACUUGGUUUCAUCUUAAGAAUAAGAAAACUUUGUAUGAAAUUGAUAACAAGGUUGCAUUGUUUCUGGCAAAAGAGGAACUUGCAUGCAUGUGGUUCCCCUAAUGAUUUUGAAAUUCAUUUACCUCCCUGUGGUUUACUUUAUUGGUUUCUUGGUCAUCAUUUUCCUUUUACAUUGGUAUGCAUUUUUCACUUGUUAACACUCAAUCUCAAUAAUGUUUCAUUUUUCACUUGUUAACACGCAAUCUUAGUUAUUUGUUAUACGUGGAAGGAAAGAGGAUUAAGCAUAAUAAAGCGAUUGAUCUGCCAACCCCAUGCCUCUCUUACCUAUUUUCUUCCCAUGAUGGAGAUCACUAAGAAAGAUCGAAGUUUCAUAUGUUUUUGGGUAUUUUUUUUUUUUUUUUUUAGUUUAGGUAUACUGUUAAAAAGAAAUUAAGGUUUUAAGCCAAGUGAACCAAUUCGAGUAAAUGUGCACUUUCUAGGCCACAGGGUUGUAGUUGGAAGUGCUGUAAUAAAAUUUCUGACAUCUGUUGCCUUUCUCGCAGACUUGAUGAUAGUUAAGCUUUACAGUUGUGUUUUUCAUUUAUAUCUCUGAUCAAGUUCAGAGUAGAACAGGCCAGCUUGCCGAUGUUUGAUCAUAGUUUUUAGUCCAAUAACUAUAGCAUCUAGUUAAAUUUAAGCUAGUAUCACUAAGGUCCACAUUAUUCUUUGUGCUUAACCAAGAUGGAAUUACUCUAUAAUCUUCUCAAGUGCAGUCCUAAGAGAAUCACUAUUAACACACAUCAUUGCCAUGGGCAUAAGUUGUAAGUUCGUGUUAAUAAAGAGCACAGAUGUACUCUCUAAUAAUGUUCACGGUUAAAGAAAUAGCAAAGAUGGUCUCAUCACAGACAUGAAGUAUAUUAUUGACUUCUUGUUUUGCAGUUUUGUUAAUCUUUAAGUAUGAAUUGUGCUCUGUUUUUAUGUUUUUUAAAAUCAUAGCUCGGGAACAUGUUUCAGGCUAUACUUCGAUGCUAAGAAAUAAUGUUCGUUCCCGUGCCUGGGGAGCUGGAAUUGGCUGUAGUUACCGUGUUGAGCGCUGCUGCAUUGUAAAGGUAGCAAAAUAGUCCUUGUUAUUUUCCAACACAUUUUUUCUGAAAUGUUUUCUGAAAGGUCUUGACAAGUACUAUUUGUCUUUUUAUGGAGACAAUUGCACAUAAUAAUUUUGUUUUUAUCAUCAACUUUGUUGUUAUCAUCAUAUGCUUACUGCAAAACCUGCAGUCCAUAACAACUGCUGUUUACAAUUCGAGGAAUUACGAUAACAGUUAGGCUUGUACAUCAAGUCAUGCCUUAUAUGAUUUUUUUUAUUUUUUAUUUUUUAUUUUUUAUUUUUUUUCCAGAAAGGAGGUGGAACCAUUGAUCUUGAGCCUUGUCUCACACACACAUCAGCAGUGGAGCCUACCCUUGCUCCUGUGGCUGUUGAGCGGACAAUGACUACAAGGGCUGCAGCUUCGGUAAUACUUGGAUUUAUGUUUUUACUGAAAAACCUUUAGUAUUUCUUCUGUGACUUCACUGUGUAUCAUCUUUAUCCUUUUUUUUUGCGAAAAAAAUAAAAUAGUUGUAAAACUAUAAAAGUAAUGUUUCAAUUUGCCCUAUCUGUAAGCAUAAUGGCAAGUAUAGAGUACUCAAGUUAGGUGGCUCUGCAGCCUACCACCAUCUAGCAGAAUGCAACUUUCAAAUUCUAUUUAACAUGUCGUCUCUUAUAGACAACGUAGUUAUUUGAAAGAAGCUGCUUCCUUUGUUCUCUCAAUCCUUGGCAAGCAUAGGAAAUUGCAAAGUCAAAAUGCUUUAUGCUUCUUGAAAAAAAUUACAGAACUUAGCUCAAGAAUAAAUGACAGGAAAAUCAGUAAUUGUAUUCACUGAUGUGCUUAUUGGAAACCAUUCAUUAUUUAAUCUUUUUCCCAUCUCUCAAACAUUUUUAUUGGAAAUAAUGGUGAUUGCACUAUUUUGUUUAGAAAACUAGACAGCUACUUUUGCUUCCUAUAUUCUAAGUAAUAAAAGCUAGACAUAAAGCAGACAUCUUUUUUUUUGUAAUUUAUAUUGCAAUGCCUGUUAAUUUUGUGAUGAAUGAUUGAUAUAAUAAUUCUGUACUACUAAAAUACCAGCAAGUACCUUUUUGUCCUUUUUUUCCAUCAGGGAUAUAAAUCCUAUGCCACAUAAUCGUUGCAGGCCCCCUAAAAAAAGUCGCGUGUAAAAAUAAAUAAAAUAAAUAUUGAAGAGAUUUCAAGAGAAAUAAAUAAUUCAAUGAUUUCACAACAUUAUUAUGGUUCGAGAGAAAGUACAAUAUCUACUUUGAAAUGCUGAAAAUUUGAUCAGCUCAUAUGCUGGCUUUCCUUUUUCAGAAUGCACUGCGGCAGCAGAGGUUUGUGCGUGAAGUUACAAUACAGUAUAAUCUUUGCAAUGAGCCAUGGUAUACAUGAUUCUGUUCCGUAUAGUUUUCUAAAGUUCUGUAUGGGGUUUGGAUAUCUUUGUAGAUUCUUAGAAGUAGAUUAAUAUAGUUGUGCAGCAAUGUUUUGAGCAAAGUAGACUCUUUGUUGUCCAUGUCUUCUUUCUGAUUGACAUUAAUCAACUGAAUUAAUCAGGUGGUUGUACCACUUGGUGUUACAAAUCGAUAGAUCUUCCUUUCAAUGCACCUACUUCUCUGUUUCACAGAAGGUGAUUAAUGUGAAGUUUACAACUCUAUUCCCCCUAUCAACUAUAAAAAAAAUGUAAAAGAAAAGAGAAGUUACUUUGCAAUGCAUCCUUUUAUAACAACUCUGAACUCUGUAUACUGUGAAUUUAUUUUUGUCAAUUUGAACUGAAUUCUAAUGUGUAGCCUUUAUAUUGUUAUUAAAGCUUUUAACUUAUUAAUUGUAGAUGCUGUUGAAUUUCUUAGAUUUCUGGUGCUUAUUAAAGUUAAUGACUAGUGAGGUUGAUAACCCUCCUUCCCACCUCUAAGACAUCAUUUGCAGUUUUCUAGUGAUUUUAUUUGAGUCUUAAUCCCCUCUUUUUGGAUUUCUUUUUUUCCUUCCAUAUCCAUGUCUGUUUAAUUUUACACUUGAUAAAGUAAUAUAGAUGUUGGUAACCACCUAGUCUUCCAUAUCACCUGUGGUUUUGUUUUCUUCAUUGGUGAGAGGGGUUAUAUAUAUAUAUAUAUAUAUAUAUAUAUUAUUUUUUUGUUUAGUUUUUUUUCCAUAGUUGCAUGUGUGUAUUCUUGUUUUAUCCAAACCUUAGAACACUGUACAUUGAAGUUCAACCAAAUCUUCACUAUUUAAUCAUUUUCAUGGAGAAUGGGUAUUAGUUUAAAUUGCUUCUAAAUGGUAUUUCUGUGUGUGCUGAUUAGUUUUCGUGUCUCUCUUGCUCAUGAGUUUCCGUACUUGCAAAUGUUUCCAGGAUAAAGUACAGCAUCAGUAUUGUUGCUGACAAGGGUCUGAAAAAGCCCCUGUAUACUUCUGCACGUUUGAAGAAGGGAGAAGUUUUGUAUUUAGAGACACAUUCAUGCAGGUAUCCAGUUUAUUCUUAGUGCUAUACCUAGCAUGAUGAGGCUCCAUCUGGGACUUCAGACUAAAUUUUCUUGUUCUUUUCUCGUGAAUCUUAUUAGUUUUUGUAUUGUUUUUUGCGUGUCUUCGCUCUUAGCUAUUCUACGUGCCAGAAAAGGAAAGGAAUGAAAGAUAACUUUUUCUCUCAUUUCUCUGUAUUUUGCAUAAUUGGGUUUUCCUUUCUCUCACUGCACUGAUUUGUUUCUAUCACCGGCUAGAAGUUGUCAUAUGGUGUCUCAAAGUCAGAAAUUGUUGCUUAUUUUAUUUUUACCUGCACUUUCUUUUAAACAGCUUAUCAAUUUUUAUUUUUAGAUUAUUCAUCAUUCUAUGUUGUAAGUUUUUCUUACUGAUAUCAUAUGGCUCCAUGUGGCUCUUCUUCGCAAUGUUCUGGUUUCAAAAUUUUGAGCAAUUAUCUGUAGGUAUGAACUUUGUUUUACUGGAGAGAAAAUGGUGAAGUCUACUCAAUUGAUUCAUGGACAUGAAGAGGCAGAGAAGCCUCAUAAUCACCAUCCUCAUUCCUCGAAUGGUGAAAAAAAUGACUCUGAUAACAUUCUAAUUGAUGUAUUUCGGUGGUCUCGGUGCAAGAAACCCCUCCCACAGAAGAUCAUGCGGUCUGUUGGAAUUCCACUUCCCCUUGAAUAUGUAGAGGUACUGACAUUAUGAAUUCUUCUUGCUUGUGUAGGAGUUCAACUCGAUAGCUAUUUUUGUUUAUAACAGUUAGCUGUCACUCCAGAAGGUGUUAGUAUUCAUAAUAGUGUCUCUGGGUGAAUCGAAUAUGGAUUUCUAUUUUGCAUAUCUACCAUAUAUCUGGCAUACAUUUGAAGCUGGUUUCCCUAUUAGACUUUUCAAAUGAUGUUCUAUCUAAGGUGCAGUGUUUGCAUUGAUUCUUGGCGUUUGCCCUUUUUAACAUUUUGUUCAGGAGGAGCAUGGUUCAUUAGAGUGUCAAAUACUUGAGAAAUGCUAUUUAUUAAUGCUACCCUGUCUACAAUAUUGAAAAUUGGAGAAACAUGUGUUACUGAGUCCAAUAACGGAUUCAUGAUCAUUGUAAUGGCAAUUCUCAUUUAUAUUUGCUCCAAGUUUUGGUACAAAGAUAUCAUAUAGAUUUUUUUUUUUAGGGCUGAUUUAAUUUGCUUGCAUGUAAUGUUGAUUUGAUGAGGCUCUGUGAGGUAGCAUUAUUAUUGAGAUGAUACUAGAGCUAUUCGCGCUAUUAGCAGUAAAUUAGCUGAUGUUUUCCCAAUGCCGCAUUUUCAUACCAAAAACAGGUGUUGGAGGAGAAUCUUGACUGGGAGGAUGUGCAAUGGUCACAAACUGGUGUUUGGAUAGCUAGAAAGGAAUAUACGCUUGCAAGGGUGCAUUUUCUUUCUCCAAAUUAGUUGUAACUUAAUGUGUUUCAUAUGUAUGUACAAACGGAUUACCGGUUGUGUAGUAUGAAUAAUAUUGGUUUCAAAGAAUUUCAUUUUUAAGUUGCUAGUUCACUGUUAAUUUAUUCUGUUUUCCUUUCUUACUUUAACCGACUUUCAAUUUUGUGAAAAAACACAUGAUGGACCUUAUUUUUAUUAUUAUUUUUUUAAAAAGUAUCAUGCAUCUUGCCACGCUGUAAGUGUGGUGAAUGAACUCAAACACGAGAGGAUCAUAUGAGCAGUUGAUAUUUGUUCAGCAUGGUAAAAACACGUCCGUGUUCACUCUAUUCCAACAUCACUUUCACGGCCCAAUGCAAAAUUCAUCCUCGUAAUUUACCUUAAAAAAAUUGUGGUAUUGAUAAGUUUUGUUCUAUUGAAUACUUUUAUUUAUAAAAUUAUAUUAAUCAAAUGUUUCAUUUGUAAAAAUUAUUUUAUUGAAUAUUUAAAAUUUUAAAAUUAGAUUAAUUAAACACUUAAUAAAUAGUUGAAAAAUAUAAAAAUUAUUGUUUUAAGGAUAAUACUAACCAUGUAUUGAGUGAAUAUCUUACACAUAAAUAUUAAAAAUAUCAAAAAAUGUUAGUAGUAGUAUAAAAAGGGAUACAAUAUUAGCAAAAUUUAUAACUUCAAAGGCAUAAUAGGUCACUUGUAAAAUUUAGGUUGCCAUAAUUUUUUCCAUAAAGUACAUGGAUAUAUUUAUACAUUUGGCCUUUUUUGGUAUUUUUAGUAUUUAUGUGCAAUAUAUUCACUUAAUGUGUGGUUAGUAUAAUCUUUGGAAUAAUAAUUUUCUCAUAUUUUUCAAUAUCUACUUCUUCCGUUCAAUUUUGUUUGCAUGAUUUGACAAAACACGCAUAUUAAGAACUUAGUCAAAAAAAAAAGUUAUUUUACUAUUUUUUAUCCUUAACUCAUUGAGAUAUUAAUAAAAAGUAUUUCAUUCAAUGAAUGAUCAUAAAUUGUUUACAUAUAUAAGUUUAGAAACCUUGCACACUUUUUAAGACAUCCAAAAAAGAAAUAAUAAGCAACAAAAUGGGACGAAGGAAAUAUUAAGUGUUUAAUUGAUCUUAUUUUAGAAGUUUGAAUAUUUAAUGGAAUAAUUUUUGCAAGUUGAAGUAUUUAAUUUAUAUAAUUUUAUAAAUUGAACUAUUCAACAGGUCAAAGUAAAAAUUGAGGAUGCAGUAAGAUUUCUUACAUAAAGUACAAAAAUGGAAUUGCCUACCAAAAAAUGUUAUGAGUAGUAUAGAAAGGAUAUAAUAUUAUCAAAAUUUGUAAAUUCAAAAGCAUAAUAAAUCACUCACAAAAAUUAAAAAUUUAGGAUGCUAUGAGAUUUUUUCUAUAAAAUAUAUGGAUAUAUUUAUAUAAUUGGCCUAUAGAAAAUAGUAAUAUAUGAAUUUGAAAGUAAAAAAAAAUGCGACGAUCGAAUUAUUUAAUUUUAACGAGUAAAAGAGUAAAGUUCUUAAUAUAAUUAACUUGUACGGGUCUGAUCACAAUUCCCUUCUAUAUUGUCUCCGGAUGCUAAUAAAUGAAAGGGAUUUCUUUGCUGUAAGCCUCUAACGGCAACCCAAAACCCUAGAAUCCAAAUAGUUACCGCUCAUUGAGCAAAAACCAGGAAACAUAGCUGCCCAAGAAUACGCCAAAAGGUGAUUUUUCAUUCUCUUUGCAGGUUUUUUUUUUUUUUAAUUUUUUUAACUCGUGUUUCUUCAAUUACAAUGUGGUAUUACUGUGAUUUUUUAGUUUUGUUUUUUCCCUUCUUUCGAACCAUUGUUUUGCUGCUAAGUAGCUUUGUAGAAAAUGAAAAUGGAGGGACACAGAGAUAUGUGAUGAUCCCUUCGAAUUUUGUAUCGUAGAAUAUUUUGAUUCUGCAUUUUGUUUAUUUGAGGAUGAGCAAAUUUGUUUGUUUUUGAUAAUCGGUUUAAGGUCAUAUUUUCACAAUUAGAAAAUACCAAGGACACAAUUAUGAUUUAUCGUUCAAAAUUCAAAAUCUAAACUUGGGUUAAUUAAAUUUGAUUACCCAGAAAUUGACGUUUAAUAAAUAGCUACUACACUAUUUUCAGGGAACGUUGAUGAUUUUCAUUAUAAUCUUACUGGCUUUUAAAUUUGUUUUUAUAGAGAAUUGGAAUGAUGUUGGGCUUUUUGUUUUAUUUUGGAGAAGACAGUUGGAGACAAAAGGUUGCCACUGAGAACUAAAAAACAGUCAUCAUGUCUGUUGAUCCUACUGCACCCAUGACUUACGUGGAUGACGAUGCUUCUUCGGGUUCUGGGGAUGAGGGAAACAUGUUGGAUGGACACAACAAGCGUCAGUCGGUGACACCCUCAAGUGCUGGUCGUCGUAAGAGGAGUCGUAAGGCUACUGGUGAUGCUAUUGUUGAUGCUAUGCUUGAAAUUGCAGCUGCUUCCAAAAUGAGGGCCGCUGCAAUCAUGAAGAAUGAGGAUCGCUUUUCUAUAAGCAAAUGCAUCAAAGUCUUGGAUGAGAUGCAAGGUGUUGAUCAAAGGAUUUACUUUUUUGCCUUGGAUUUAUUUGAGAAUCCCAAUGCCAGGGAGACAUUUAUAUCUCUCAAGAGUGAGAAACGGUUACCAUGGUUGCAGGGGAAGUGCAAUGCUGCCUCUAGUUGAAUAGUUUAAAACUUAAAAGAGCUUAUUAGUUGUGUGCAUUUUUGAAGUUCCAUAUUCUGGGUAUGGUCUGUAUGGCCAUAGUACUCUAGAGGAACUCAUGCAUUUUGUAUAGUACUCUGGAGGAACUCAUACAUUUUGUAACUAGUUUUACUUUAUGAUCAGUGGCAGUUUCAUCAGUUUAAGGCUCAAAUGUUAGAGACUGCUGUUGCUUUCCCUCUUUUGGUUUAUUUGCACCAGCACCUCUGUCUCCAGAGACAUAUGCUACCUUCUGUUUGUGAUAGAAAUGCAUUCAAUUGAUUUGUCUAUAUCUGCAAAUUUAACUACUUGCAUUUGUGCUACAUAUUCUGCAUUUUAAUUCGAUUUCUACAGAUACUUCAGCUUGCAUGGACGACUUUGACUUAGAAUUGGACGAGAUGGAAUUAGUUGCUGCUGCUGCAGGCUACUACUAUUAUAACAGUAUAAACAGGCAGCCUCGUUGCAGUUCAUCACCUAGCGGAAGUGCCUUUAUGACUGAAGUGCUGGAUGGCCCUGAUGAUUUAUGCAGAGAAAUGUUUCGGAUGGAUAAACAUGUGUUUCACAAGUUAUGUACCACACUACGACAAAGAGCCAUGUUACGUGAUACUGCUGGAGUCAUGAUAGAGGAACAGCUCGCAAUUUUCUUAAAUGUCAUUGGUCAUAAUGAGCGUAACAGAGUAAUUCAAGAACGAUUUCAACAUUCAGGUGAAACUAUAAGUCGGCAUUUUAAUAAUGUAUUGAAGGCAAUUAAGUCACUUUCACGGGAAUUCCUUCAACCACCACCUCUCAACACUCCUCCAGAAAUUCUCAGUAGUAAUAGGUUUUACCCAUAUUUCAAGGUUUGUUUACAGAUCUGUUUGUACUUUUUUUUUUUUUUAAAUGUAUAAUUGUUACACUGCUUACUUGAAUUUUUCUUCAAGCAGGACUGUAUUGGAGCCAUAGAUGGUAUGCAUAUCCCUGCACAUGUACCAGCCAAAGACCAAUCUCGAUUUCGUGAUAGAAAAGGUGUUCUGUCACAAAAUGUUUUGGCAGCAUGCACAUUUGACUUGCAGUUUAUAUUUAUUUAUCCUGGUUGGGAAGGUUCAGCUGCAGAUUCACGUGUGCUAAGAGCAGUCCUUGAUGAUCCAGAUCAGAAUUUUCCUCGCAUACCUGAAGGUUCUCCUCUUUAUGUUCAUCUGAUGUAGUUUUGAUACAUCACUUUUUAUUUAUGGACAUUUGCACGUACACACACAGCUCGUCUGCAUGUGAGGCCAUUUCCAUGGUAUGGAAGGCUGCUUCCAUAUCAUUUCUAGUUGUUUGAAUGAAUUUAGUGUCCCUCUCAUCAUCACUAAUUGUUCUGUAACAGGAAAAUUUUAUCUAGUCGACACAGGAUACUCAAAUAUGGAAGGAUUUAUUGCACCAUAUCUAGGAGUUCGCUAUCAUCUCCAUGAAUUUAGAGGUGCAAAUCAGUUACCCAGAAAUGCCAGAGAACUGUUCAACCACCGACAUUCGUCUCUAAGAAAUUUCAUCCAGAGGUCUUUCAAUGUGCUGAAAACUCGAUUUCCCAUCCUCAAACUUGCACCUCAAUAUGGUUUUCAUAUCCAAAGGGAUAUAGUAAUUGCUGCAUGUGUUUUGCACAAUUACAUCCGACGUGAGGACAGAAAUGAUUGGCUUUUUGAUAGUAUUGGCGGUGUGGCAUUGGAAGAACUUCCUGAUUUUGAUGAUCAACCUGAAAUGCAGUUGGCUUCGUCCAUUCAAGAGCAAAUUGCUUUCUCAUUACGAGAAUCAAUUGCUGCAGCAAUGUGGAAUGACUUCAUAAACAAAUGGGAUCAGUGGUGAAUGAUGGCACUAAUCUCCAAUCUGGGUAAACAUACUGUAUAGGUCAUGUUAUGCUGAUUAAUUUUAUGCUUAAGGGUUAUGGCUUUUAGGGGGAGAAUUGAUUGAAUGUGACAUUUUGUGGGAUCGAGUAGAAUUGACAUUUUGAAGCAAUAGCAUCUGUUUGACACGUGCAAGGAAUCAUUGCUUUGUGAAGUCGACCCAUAUAUCGAACUAGUUUACUAAGGCGCACAUCUUGCUAGUUUGUUUAUUAUUGUACCUAACAAUGAAAAUAACAAUUUUUAAGAUUUUUUAAUUUAAUGCAUAAAUUUAUUUUUCUAUUUUGCGUAAAAAAAAGUUUAUGGUGCCCUCAACUUUUACUUUGACGCUUCAAUUUAUAAAAUUAUAUAAAUUAAAUACUUUAACUUACAAAAAUUAUUCUGUUGAAUAUUUAAAUUUAUAAAAUUAGAUUAAUUAAACACUUAAUAGAUAGUUGCAAAAUAUGAAAAAUUAUUGUUCUAAAUAUUAUACUAAUCAUAAAUGAAUAUUUUGCACAUGAAUAACAAAAUGUUAUUAGUAGUAUAGAGAGAUCCAACAACAAAAUUCAUAAGUUUAGGCAUAAUAGGUCACUCGCAAAAUUUAAAAUUUCACAAAAUUUUUUCGCAAAAUACAUAAAUAUAUUUAUACAUUUCUAUAAAGUACACGGAUAUAUUUACGUACACGGAUAUAUUUACACAUAUGUCCUCAUUUUCAGCGUUUCUAUCUUUCUCGUCCUCUCUCUAUUCCUCUCGAUGUUUAACAGUUCUCUCUUGAUAUGUUUUUCUUCUUCUUAUUUGUGUUUCUCUAAAAUAGAAUUUUUGAUAUUUUGAUCUUGAGUUUAAAACCUUUCUAUUUCUCUAUAUUAUAUGUACCAAUCUCUCCAUCAAAUUCAAUAUACUUGAGCAUCGAUUUUAUCAAAGACAAAGCUCAUGCCGAGGGUUUUUGAAGGUUUAGAAAUGCGUUUCAUGAAGAGGAAAAAUUGGAGUUUACGCCAUUUGUGGGAUACGAGGUGUUUUUGUCGCUGUUACAGUUUUUGUAUAGUGGACAAGCCUCUGUUGUCCUUCAAAAGCAUGAGCCAAGGCCUAACCAUAGUGAAAGAGGUUGUUGGAGGCAUUGUACCGCAGUCAUUGAACUUGCUCUAGAUAUUGAUGCUGCUGCUAGAUAUUUUGGAGUUGAACAGCUUGCGUUGCUUUCUCAGGUCUUUCGGUCUUGAUACAAAUAUUUCUUUUCUUUAUUUUUUUCUUCUUCUUUUUUCUCUCUAAAAUUUUAACUGUAGUUUUGAAUCUUGAUUAGUGUGAGGAGUAGUCAUAUCGUUUCAUGAGAAUUUUUUUUUGCAGGAUUUUGGAAUUUAUCAGAGGUUGGUUUUGUAUAUGUAAUGAAUCUACAGUUCUAUGUUUCUUCUGUGUUUGGUGAGUUUAAUUUAGGAAAUAAUAAUUUUGAUCUGAAAUUUAAAAAUCAGCUUAGGAUUUUGAUUGGAAAAGUUCUACUUUUGAUUAUCAGUGAUUGGUGGUUAAAGAGCAAACAUGAUUUUCAUUUCUUGAAUUUCCACAUAAUUCUUAAAGAAAUUUUAUAAAUUGAAGUGUUUAAUAUAUCAAAGUAAAAGUUAAGACUACCAUGAAAGUUUUUUACGUAAAAUAUAAGGAUGAAUUUAUGUAUUGGGCUUCUAUAUAAUUUUCAGUGUACUUCAAAUUUAAGAAGUAUAUCCUAAUUUUAAAAAGUAUAUCUAUAGCUAAUAGAGUUCAUUAAUUUUUUAAUUAAAUAAAAUAAUUAAUAAUACUUUAAAUAAUAAAAAUAAAAUUUAAAAAAUACAAUAUUAAAUAUUUAUGCUUGAGGUUGAUAUUGGCAGCAACAAUUAUUUCGUUAAUAUCUUUUACACCUUAAUUGUUUUUUCAGAUCUAUUGAUUCUUUUAUAAAGAAAUCACCACUCUCACAAAAAACUUCAAAUAUGCAAAAAAAAAAAAAAAAGAUUUAUUAUAAGAAAAAUAUAUGAAUUUAUUAAAUUAAAUAAAAAAUUAAAAGUAGAGAAAAGGUGAAGUGAAAGAAAAAGUAAAAUAGAGUCAUGGUCUCUCUAAAUUUAAUCACUAAAAUAGAGUAAAAUACAUCUAAGUCUUCAAUUAUUUUUUGCUACUGUUUUAUUAAUUAGGCAUUAUAUAAUAUAAUUAGAAAAAUGAUGACAAUCUAUGAGUAAAAACUGGUGUAUGUAUAUAUAUACACUUUUGCACACCACCCCGAUAUAUAUAUGUAUACACUUUUUCAUGAAUUAGUAUUUCGUAUUCGUAUUCGUAUCCUUAUGUGUGUGUACAUGCAUCAGAGGCCGCGGGAUACCCAGAAAACGAAAAGUCAGAGAAUUCAAAAACAUAAGGGUUUUUCCACAGAGGAAAGGCCCUUUUGGAUUUUGCGAAAAAUGACAACAGGCGCCAUUUUUUCCCCAAUGUUUUAUUUUCCCGCUCAUUCCCUCUUUCUUAUCACUCUGUGAAUUACAUUUGAAACAAAAUUAAUACUUUAUCUUUAAUGAAAGACUUCUAAUUUUCGAUAGUUAAAAACAGCCCCAUUUCGCAGCUCUAGGCCAGUCGUGGUUUUGCUUCAACUUGUCUUUCCCAAUAGGAUCAGGGCUCUUAUAUCGAAACAUUGAAAGUAAAACACACGGCAACGAGUAGGGAAGAGAGGAUUGUGUUUAACUCAAGAAUGGGAUCGGCAACGCUACUGGAAUCAUCAUUUCCCAACUCCGCGGUUGGUAAAAGUUCUGAUUCUGAUUCAGGUGCCCGAGAAGCCUAUUUUUCUCUUCACUACAUUUUUACUAUUUUUAUUGUUUAUCUAUUUAUUGAAUCCAACUCUUUCAGUUUGAUUAUGUUGUUGAUCUUUUUAAUACUAAGACAAAAUAAUGCUUUCUUGUUCUUGUUAUGAUGUGUCCAUGGAUAAUCUAGUGGUUCAAUUUGAAACACUCAUUAUCAAUUAAAACCUGAAAAAAUAAUACUAUGAUAAUGCACUUAUAAAAUAUGAUUUUGGGUCUGUUUUUUUUUUCCCAGAAACUAGACUAAUAGUGGGCUACGCUCGUUGUAUUUGUUCACUUUAUGAACACCCUCAUCAACAUGUUUCGCUCACUCUUGGGCAUGGUUCUAUGUGCAGGGACCUAUCCUGCUACUUAUUUUUACUAUAAAUCUUGCUAACUAGAGGUACACUUGGCUCACUAUGAAUUGGAUGAGUAUCAAGUAAAUCGAAUGCUAGAUAGUUUCCCUUUCUUCUUAUAGCAGUUUGCCACUUUUUGUUGUUGUUGGAUCAUGUCAAUUUGCAGCGCGAUGUAAUUAAUUCCUCAAUGAUGAGCUCCUAUGGGCGAGUUCACUAUGCAUAUAUAUUUGUUGUUCAAUCAUGUCAAUUUGCAGUGGGUUGUAGUUAAUUCUUUAAUGGCAAGCUCCUAUGGGUGAGAUGAAUUCACUAUGCAUGUGUGUAUAUUUGCUUAUGCUGCAUUUCUUAAUCUUAGCAUCUUAUAAUUAACAAGACGACCCUCAUCCAGUUUGGUGAUUUCUUGCUAUACUGGAAUCCAAUGUAAGAAUUUUUGAGGAUGGUUGAAACUCAACUUCAUAUGUUUGAUGCAGGAUAUCCUGCUUGUUUGUCCCUUUUCCAAGUUGUCAUAAUCCUUUCUACUUUUGUUUCUCCCACUUUUGUCCAAGCAUUAUUUAGACUUCAGAUGUGAACUCAUCAUGCUCCCUCAAUUGCUCUUACUAUAUACCAUGUUCUUUUUGGUCUCUGAUUUCAGUACAUUGGUCUCAUCUCAGUAUUCUUUUCAAAUACAAAUUCCUAAUAUUAUUACAUAAUUGGAUUUGCAUUUUGAAACAGGAACAAAGAAGAAAAAAGGUAAAACAAAAUCUUCUGUUUCUAAUGCAAGCAAGGAACUAACAAAUAAUACAAAAGGCAAGAAGCGAAGUUCCUCCCGUCAGAAUGAAGAUCCUGCUAGUUCCUGGAAAAGACCAAAGCGAGCUGCAGCGUGCACAGAUUUCAAGGAGAAAUCUGUAUGUUUAUCUGAAAUGUCUUCUAUCCUUGAACCAAAGAAAGAUCAAUCUGUGGAGGAAGAGAUUGUAGCCAUUCACCUGACAAAUGGGCAAGAAGAUGGUCGAGCUAACAGGAGACUAACAGAUUUUGUUGUGCAUGAUGCAAACGGUACCCCAAAGCCUAUUGAGAUGAUUGAAUUUGACGAUAUGUUUAUAUCUGGUCUUAUCCUGCCUCUUGAGGAUAGUCCUGACAAGGAAAAGGAGAAGCGUGUUAGAUGUGAAGGCUUUGGAAGGAUAGAAGGAUGGGACAUCUCUGGCUAUGAAGAUGGCUCUCCAGUAAUAUGGCUUACAACAGAUAUUGCAGAUUAUGAAUGUGUUAAACCUGCAAGUAGCUACAAAAAGUUCUACGAUCACUUCUAUGAAAAGGCUCGUAUUUGCAUUGAGGUGUACAAGAAACUGUCAAAAACUUCUGGAGGGAAUCCUGAUCUUGCUCUUGAUGAGUUGCUUGCGGGAAUUGUUCGUUCAGUGACUGGAAGCAAGUGUUUUUCAGGUGCAGCAUCCAUAAAAGAUUUUGUAAUUUCCCAGGGUGAAUUCAUCUAUAACCAAUUAAUUGGAUUAGAUGAAACAUCAAAGAAGAAUGACCAGAAAUUUGCUGCAUUGCCUGUUCUUCUUUUAUUGAAAGAGAAGAGUCACAAGCAUGGAAAUUAUGUUCUGGCAAAAGCAGUAACUUGUGGUGGGAAUCUGACAAUUUGUCCUAAAUAUGGAGGUGGGGAGUCAAACAUGUUACAGUCUAAUUCUUCCUCCAAUGUAGCUGAGGAAGAUGAAGAUGCAAAGUUGGCAAGACUCUUGCAAGAGGAAGAGUAUUGGCAAUCUACAAAGAAGCAAAAGAAAAUUCUUGGUUCAGCUCCGUCAGCACAUGCAAUCUACAUAAAAAUCAAUGAAGAUGAGAUUGCAAAUGACUACCCUUUGCCUGCAUUUUACAAACAUUCUAAUGAAGAAACUGAUGAAUAUAUAGCUAUUGAUAGUGAUGAUCACAUCUUUGUUGACCCUGAUGACCUUCCUAAAAGAAUGCUCCACAACUGGUCACUAUAUAACUCUGAUUCAAGGUUGAUUUCCUUGGAGCUUCUUCCAAUGAAACCAUGUGAAGAUAUAGAUGUCACCAUCUUUGGCUCGGGAAGGAUGACUGAAGAUGUUGGAACUGGAUUUUAUCUAGACAAUGAUCAUGAUCACUCUUCAUCAGGGGAUGCAGGGAUUCAAGAUGACCUCGGUUUGCCAAUUUUUUUGAGUGCAAUAAAGGAGUGGAUGAUUGAAUUUGGAUCUUCAAUGGUUUUCAUAUCUAUCCGGACAGACAUGGCGUGGUAUUGUGCAUAACCUCUUAUUUAUAAUCAGAGGGACAUGAUAGAUUUACUUUUGUCAUUUAGGGUUUCAGUUAAUUCUUUCAAGUGACAAAGUCUGAAAUUUUUUGCUAAUCAGAAUCUCUUUGAUUAAAGAUGGUGGCUUUGGUAUAACGGUAAAGUUACUCCACUUGUUACUUGGAUGUGAUGGAUUUAAGCCACAGAAAAAACUUCUACAAAAAUGUACGGGGAAGGUUAUGUGCAUCAACCCUCCCUAGAGCCCAUACAUGUUGGGUGCUUCAUCAACUGGGUCAACCUUUAAAAUCUCUUUGAUUAAGAAAAACACCAUUUGAUUAAGAAAAGCAUUAAAAUAGCUUAAGAAUAGAGUAUUAGUAAUCUUGUAGCAGGAUACUUAGUACUUAUUAGUUGAAACAAUGGCGAGUAUUAGUCUUGAGAAAUAAUUUGGAUUUAUUUAAUUAAAACUUCUGCGAAUUAGUCAUAAACAUUCUCUGUUGGCACUAAUUUGAGUAUUUGAUCUUGCUUGGAUAUUUUCAGGUAUAGACUUGGAAAGCCAUCAAGGCAAUAUUCUCCAUGGUAUAAGCCAGUUUUGAAAACGGCCGAACUUGCAAGAAGCAUCAUUACAUUGUUGAAAGAACAAAGUCGAGUUUCACGGCUUUCUUUUUCAGAUAUAAUCAAGAAAGUGUCCGAGUUCAAGAAGGAUGAUCACGGUUUCAUUUCUCAUGAUCCAGCAGCUGUUGAGAGAUAUGUGGUUGUGCAUGGACAGAUAAUCCUACAGGUUUUUGCUGAAUUUCCUGAUGAGAAAAUAAAAAAAUGUGCGUUUGUGAUUGGUCUCACAAAGAAGAUGGAGGAAAGACACCAUACCAAAUGGGUGGUAAAUAAAAAGCAAAUUAUGCAGAGGAGUCAACCCAAUUUAAAUCCCCGAGCAGCAUUGGGCCCUAUAGCCCCUCUAGUGUCCAAAAGGAAGGUUAUGCAAGCAACAACAACAAGGCUGAUUAACAGAAUUUGGGGGGAAUUUUACUCCAAUUACUCGCCAGAGGAUCUGAAAGAGGGAACUAUUGCUGAAGCAAAAGAGGAGGAAGUUGAGGAGCAAGAGGAAAAUGAAGAUGAUGUAGAUGAGGAUGAACUGAUAGUUUCAGAGAAAACACAAAAAUCUUACUCAGUGCCAUUGCGAACUAAAUCAUAUUCUUCAACGGAUGAAGUACGAUGGGAUGGGAAUCCUGUAUGCAGAACACAGAGUGGUGAAGCUAUUUAUAAAUGUGCAAUUGUCCGUGGGGAGGUGAUUGCAGUGGGGGGUGCUGUCUUAGUGGAGGUUGAUGAAUCAAAAGAAGUUCCUGCCAUCUGUUUUAUAGAAUACAUGUUUGAAACAUCAGAUGGAAGCAAAAUGUUUCAUGGGAGAAUGUUGCAGAGGGGAUCUCAGACAGUUCUUGGCAAUGCUGCCAAUGAGAGAGAGGUUUUCUUGAGAAAUGAGUGCACGAACUGUGACUUGCAGGAUGUUAAACAGGCAAUUGUCCUUGAAAUUCGGAAAAUGCCCUGGGGACAUUGUCACAGGAAAGAUAAUGCCAAUGCUGAUAAAAUUGAUAGAGCAAGAGCAGAAGAGAGGAAAAAUAAAGGAUUGCCACUAGAAUAUUUCUGUAAAAGUUUGUAUUGUCCAGAGAGGGGUGCAUUUUUUAGCGUUCCCUUUGAUACAAUUGGUCUUGGUUCUGGCGUUUGCCACUCUUGCAAAAUAAAAGAAGCUGAAAUGGAAAAGGAGAUCUUUAAAAUUAAUUCUUCUAGGACUGGAUUUGUGCACUUGGGAACAGAGUAUUCUGUUCAUGAUUUUGCCUAUGUAAGCCCUUAUCACUUCACCAAUAAAAGGGAGACAGAAACUUUCAAGGGUGGAAGGAAUGUAGGGUUGAAGCCAUAUGUUGUGUGCCAGUUACUGGAGAUCAUUGUCCCAAAAGAACCAAAGCAAGCAGAAGCAAGAUCCACACAGGUUAAGGUUCGGAGGUUUUUCAGACCAGAAGAUAUCUCACCUGAGAAGGCAUAUUUUUCAGAUAUUCGGGAGGUAAAACUGAUUUAAAAAUCUUGUGUUACAUUUAAUUAAGCAUGUCAGGUUCUUAGCCUUUGUAACCAUCCUUUAUCUUGUCGUUUACAUUUAUAAAUAUCAUUAUCUUGCAAGUUCAGAUCUUUGAGAAGUUGUGCGGUUUAAAAUUUUUCAGAUCUAUUACAGUGAAGAAAUGCAUGUUAUAUCUGUUGAGAAUAUUGAAGGGAAAUGUGAAGUUCGAAAGAAAAAUGAUAUCCCUACAUGCAGUCCUGCUGCAAUCUUUGAUCAUAUUUUCUUUUGUGAGCAUCUUUAUGAUCCUUCUAAAGGGUCACUCAAGCAGGUAUUUAUCAUUUUCUCUAUCACAUAUUACAAAAUAUGCUACACAUUUUUUAUCAGUUCAGGGGAGAAGCAUCAAUUUAAUUAAAUUAUUUAAGGCACUUAACAUCUGCAAAUUGCUUCUUUUGACCAGUUUUGGUUCAAUAACAAGACUUUGCUCUGAUGAAUUAUAGUGAUCUUCCAAACUCUUUUCUGAGCAGUUACCGGCUAAUAUCAAAUUGAGGUACUCAACUGGGACUGGGGAAAGUGUUGCUGUGUCCAGGAAGAGGAAGGGUAAGUGGAAAGAGGGAGAAGAUGAAGUUGAAAAAGAAAGAGAAGCAUCUGAAGUGAGAAGUUUAGCUACAUUAGAUAUUUUUGCUGGUUGUGGUGGCUUGUCAGAGGGAUUGCAUCAAGCUGGUGACACUCUGUCUCCUUAUAUAUGACAAACCAAGUAACUUGCUUGCUUAUCUAUCAUUGGAGAACUAAUGAUUAACUAUCUGCUGCUUUGGGCAUUGCAGGUGCCUCAAAAACCAAGUGGGCUAUUGAAUAUGAAGAACCUGCUGGAGAAGCAUUCAAGCUUAAUCAUCCAGAGUCACUGGUGUUCAUUAAUAAUUGCAAUGUGAUCCUUAGGUAAGUGAGUAUAUUGUGGUUUAAACUCUAUUCCUGUGCUUGCUAAAUUUUGUUUGAAAGCUUUUGGCUUGUACUGCAGGGCUAUAAUGGAAAAGUGUUUGGAUUCUGAUGACUGUAUCUCAACUCCUGAGGCAAUAGAAUUGGCUGCUUCACUUGAUGAGAAAGUAAUAAAUGAUUUGCCUCUGCCAGGACAGGUGGAUUUCAUCAACGGAGGGCCACCAUGUCAAGUAUGUACAAAUUUCUGGCCCCCUUUUUUUUUUUAUUAAUGCAAACUUCUGGUAUUUGUGUAUUACAAAAGGUGCAUGACCUUUCUUUGCAGGGUUUCUCUGGAAUGAAUCGGUUUAGUCAAAGCACUUGGAGUAAAGUUCAAUGUGAGAUGAUCUUAGCAUUUUUAUCCUUUGUUGACUACUUCCGACCAAGAUAUUUCCUCUUAGAGAAUGUGAGGAACUUUAUUUCUUUCAAUAAAGGGCAGACAUUCCGCUUAACAUUGGCUUCACUUCUUGAGAUGGGCUAUCAGGUAGAGUUUGUUGCAAGUAAAUGUGUGUUCUUUCAUUUGUUAUAGCAUUAAUGCAUUACCAUUAUUUAUUCUUUUACACAUGCGCAACUGGUUUGGAUUAGGUGAGGUUUGGUAUCCUGGAAGCUGGAACAUAUGGAGUUUCUCAAUCACGAAAACGAGCAUUCAUAUGGGCAGCCUCGCCUGAAGAUAUACUUCCAGAGUGGCCAGAACCCAUGCAUGUCUUUGCUGCCCCAGAGUUAAAAAUUACUUUGUCAGAAAAUUUACAAUAUGCUGCUGUUCGAAGUACUGCUAGUGGAGCCCCUCUCCGUGCAAUAACUGUCAGAGAUACCAUUGGUGAUCUCCCAGAUGUAGGAAAUGGUGCCUCUAAGACAAAUUUGGAGGUAUAUAGGAUAAAAAUAUAUGUUCCAGAAAUUUGUAAAGUAAUAUGCAGUGAUCAUGUUAUUUUGAUUAUUUAUUUAUUUAUUUGUGCAGUAUAAAAAUGAUCCUGUCUCAUGGUUUCAAAAGAGAAUUCGAGGGGACACAAUUGUCUUGACAGACCAUAUAUCAAAAGAAAUGAAUGAGCUGAACUUCAUUAGGUGUCAGAAGAUUCCAAAACGCCCAGGUGCUGACUGGCGUGACCUUCCAGAUGAAAAGGUAGUAAUAUAAUUGAGUUCUCAUAUAAGAUAUAAUACAUCUAUUAAUAUUUCAUUGUUGGGAUCAUUGAGUUCUCUACACAUCUGAUUUUAAAUGUGCUGUAUACACAGGUUAAAUUGUCCACUGGGCAAGUGGUUGAUUUAAUUCCAUGGUGUCUACCAAAUACGGCUAAGCGACACAAUCAGUGGAAGGGGCUUUUUGGAAGAUUAGACUGGGAAGGGAACUUCCCAACUUCAAUAACAGAUCCUCAACCAAUGGGUAAGGUGGGGAUGUGCUUUCAUCCUGAGCAGGACAGAAUUCUUACAGUUCGUGAAUGCGCCCGAUCUCAAGUAAGUUGUAUUUUCUCGUUAGUUUGUUCAUUUUCAGAGUAAGCUACUUUAGAUGUUUAAGUUCCUUAAUCUUAUUAGCAUUGAAAUAUGCAACAAGUAGCAAAUCUUGCAACUGCUUGCAUUAUUCAAUCAACAGCUUUUACCCUUCUGAAAUUUCAUAUUUUACGGGCAAUGGGGCGGGGCUGGGGUUGUUAUUUUUUUUUUGUUAAAAUUAUAAUAUUUAAGUAAUUAAUAUGAACAAAAAAUAUUAACAUGUCAUUGAUUGAGGCGGAAUAUGAGGAUAUGGGGCGGGGUGAAGUUCAUCGCCCCUGCCCCCCUGCACAAUAUCAGGGUCAGAUCAGUUUCGGGUUAAAUUCCAUCCUGCUAAUCCGUUAUAACACUUUGUUCCUUAUAUAUCUUGUUCUUUUUUAAGCUUUUUUUUUUUUUUUGUAUUUCUAAUCCUUUACAGGAAUGAAUUUUCCUCUCCCUAAGUUCUAAUUUUUCAUUUCCUUUCUCUCCCUUUGUUUUACUUUAACGGACCUCCCUCCUUUUUUUCCCUCUCCCAAAUCGAAACACAGUGCAAGCGGCCUUUGUCUCUUUGCUAAAAAAUUGGACAUUUUUUUUCCCAUUACUAUUUAUAGUUAAGUUCCUUAUUCUUAGUAAUUUUCUUUUUCAUGCCUUUUUUUUUACCAGGGAUUUCCAGAUAGCUACAAGUUUGCUGGUAACAUUCAACACAAGCACCGGCAAAUUGGAAAUGCUGUUCCUCCCCCGUUGGCGUAUGCACUGGGGAUAAAACUCAAGGAGGCCAUGGAAAAGAGGCAUAAAUAGAUACAAUAUAAUUUUUCUUCAGUGAGACGCAAUAUCAUUUACCCAGUUACCAGUUUGUAGAAUGAUCUAUCUUAAGCAGGAUAGACUCCGUCCCGUUUAUUGCCUGGUAAAACAAAUGAAAAGAGACUGCAUUUCUGAAUUCAUUAAUGGGGUAGAAUAGGACUAGGUUAUAUAUGAAGCUUUGCACUAAGAGCUUUGACAUUUCUCCCCCUUUUUUUUUUCUCUAAAAAUUUCUUUUAUCUUAAAAAUUCGGCAGCACUGACCACAUUUCAAUAUUCACAAACUCGUAACCCAAAAAAAAAAACAAAAAAGCCUGCACAUACUCAUUUUUCGCUUCGUCUAAAAUUAUGGAUUCGGUCAUUUACAAGCAGCAACUGGUUGAUAUCUAUUUAUUUAUUUCCCUUGAAAAAGAACCCAUUUAUUUAUUGGGCAGUGAUAGAUGGUCGGUUUCCUAACAAUGCACGGGCAAUAUUUCAAAACUUGAGGUGGGCCAUCUUAGAAAAUUGUCUAUACAACCAUAGGUAUUGAAAGAGGGAUAUAUUUGUAAUUAGUUAUUUAAAUGAAAGGAUAAAUCUAGCAUAAGCAUAUUACUUGUUCUUAUGCAUUGACCUACCUGCUGCCACUCUCAUUCUGAGCUAAGACUCAUUCCCAUGUCCUUUAACAACAAAGAAAAGAAAAUGAAAACAAAAAGUUAAUUAAGUAGAUAAAUUUUAUAAAUCACACUGCAUAUAUACCCUCUCCACUGCCACCGAUACUACAUCCUCUCAUCACUUUCAUUUUUUGAUUUUUCACGUGAAUUUUACCCAUUCAAGCGUUUGAUUUGGCUUUAAACUUUGGAAUUUACUAUAUAAAUCUAUGUUGAUUUGCAUUCUGACCUAAAAAAUAAAUUUUGUUAUCAUUUUUAUAAUUUCACAGUAUUAAUUUUAUUUGAAUUGAUCCGAUAUUAAGGCAUGGCUAAAUUUAUUUUGCGAGGAGGGAUAGAAAUGGCGAUCGAUGUGGUGAUCAGGAUUUUUUUUUUAUUUUUUUUAUUUUUUUUUUAUUUUUACAGAGAAGGAAGGAGAAUUAUGACGGUAGUAAUGGUGACUGAUAGAGAAAGGACAUCUGAGUUUGGAAUUUUCUUGCACAACUCGUUGAGUUGCAAUUACACUUUUAACCUUCACAUUUUAAUAUUUUUACGCCCAAUUUAUAAUGUAUGCAUCUUUGGGUCGGUUAGUUAAUUUAGCUGUUUUAGUAGCUGGUAGCUGUUUUAAUAGUUGUUAGCUAUUUUAUUAGUGGUUAGUUAUUAAAUAUUAGCUAUUAAUGGUUAACGAUUAUAUGGCAGUUUAGAAUAAAAGUGUUCGAUAUAAAUAACUGCUUGAUUAGCUGUUUAAUGUAAAAUGACAAAAAAUAGUAUCAAAGUGAGGAAUCAGUUAAAAAAAAGUGAUGUGUAUAUGUAUUAUAAAAUACUUUCAAACUCUAAAUACUAUGAUAGAUAUUGUACUACCGAAUACUACAAUUAAUUAAGAUAGUAUUUCAGCUCUAUCAAAAUACUAAAUACUAGUUCAAAAGAUUCCUACGAACAGUGCCUUCAUAUUCAGAGCAAAUAGACCCCACGUAAUUGGUGGCCUAGGCUUCAAAGACCUUGAAUGUUUUAAUCUUGCUCUCCUUGGCAAACAACGUUGGCCACUUGUUUCUCAUCCUCAAUCUCUUUUAUCCAGAGUUCUAAAAGGAAAAUAUUUUCCUCAUUCAAACUUUAUGGAGGCUCAGCUUGGUUGUAACCCAUCCUGGGAUUGGCGAAGCAUUUUACAAGGUAGGGAAAUUCUUCUACAAGGUCUUCGAUGGGAGGUUCGAAACGGAAAAUCAGUUGCUUGCAAUGAUCCAUGGUUGCCAACUAAGUUCCCUUUUAAACCUCGUCUUCUUAAUCAUAAUAACAGAAACCCCUGCCGAGAUAAAUUGAUCUGACAUUUUACAAGAGAUGGAAAGUAUUCUGGAAAGUCCGGGUAUGUGGUAGCUUAUAACCAAAAGAUCUUCUCUUAAUUCUCUGGAAGUUGCCUCAAAUAUUGAUGGUGGAGAUAAGUAGGUUUGGAAAAAGUUGUGGUCUAUGCAGAUUCCAAAAGGUCUGUAUCUUCUUGUGGCGAGCUUUAAAAAACAGCCUUCCAGUUGGUGAAGUUUUAGCCAAACGUUUUCCAAAUGACAAAUAUCUGCAAGUUAUGUGGUGAACUGGAGUUAGAAAAACACUUAUUUUUUCAGUGCCAUCAAGCUGCAGUUGUGUGGAUUCACUCCCCUCCCCAACUUAGAUCCUCCAUUCUUCAUGGUACCUAUUUUAAGGAAUGUUGGCAGAGCAUUUGGAAUGGCCUAUCAUCUGUGAAUAAUGCAGACUUGAUAGUUCUAGCUAGCUUCAUUUUAUGGCAACUAUGAAAAGUUAGGAAUCAUCUUGUGUUUCAAGAUAAACCAAUGGACUGGAAAGAGAUCUUAGCAAGAGCCAAAUUUAAUUUUCAAGAGUUUAAUGAAGCCUAUUGAAAAGAUCACUCUCUUCCUAACCAAACAUCUGCCCCUUUGGAUCCUAUAGCUUUAUUAUGGACUCCGCCGCCUACAUAUAUCAUCAAGAUAAAUUUUGAUGCAGCUACAAGUGUGAAAAAUCUAAGUGGGAGUAUUGGAAUUAUAGCUUGCAAUCAUGAGCAUAAGGUGCUGGCCUGGUAUGUUAAGCAUUUUUCUUACCAGACAAACCCGCUCAUUCUUGAAGCUUUAGCAUUGAGACAGGCUGUCCAGACGGCUAUUAACCAUAAAUUUGCCAGUAAUAUUCGAAGGGGAUUCAAAAAUUGUUGUUGAUGCAGUAAACAAGAAUCAAUCCCCUGCCAUUACCAUUGAUGGUAUUAUCAAAGAUAUUUUAAAUUUGGUUGUGCAGCUUUCUCGUGCAUCUUUCCAUUUUGUCGGAAGACAAUGUAACGGAGAUGCUCACAGAUUAGCUAGAAUGGGGGUUAAUCAUGAAUUUUCUUUAAAUCCUUGCUACCAAUUCGGUUGGUUCAAGAAUUCUAAAUGUUGUAUCUACUACUGACUUCUUUUAUUUCUAAUAUAUCUGAUAUCGUUUUGGGAAAAAAAAAAAAAUCUAUAAUUACUGCUAUUAUUUUUUAUUAUUGUUAUUAUUUAUUUAGACAAAAGAUUCACAACAAAAUCUUUGACUUGCGACAUUAACUGAGAUGACACCGGCAAUUCUGGGAAGAUGUAAAAGGCAUGAAACAUGUUUGGAUACUCGAGCAGGAUAGCCUCUUUGCCGGACCUCUUUAGCCCUUCAUAGUACGUGAAAUAUCCUCCGCGUUAGGUCCGCUAACGUUCACAGCGUAAUGAUCCCGAUUCGAACCUUCCGGUAGAAACACCUUCCAACACCAAUCGGUUCGGGGAACCGGCACUAACAUGGAACUAGUUAGUCGGAUCUCAGGCUCACUUCUAUCCCCGCCUCCAAAGAACGGCUGCAUAGAUAUUAAACCAACAACCUUAGCAACACGAAAUUGGGUCCUGCUGGCCCUAACCGCAACUUGAUGCGCCAAGUUUGCGCCAGCACUAUCUUUGCAAGGAAACAUUUGGAUAAAUUCGCAUUGUGUCUUGGUUCUCGUCGAGGAAUUUGAGGACGUCAAAUCCAUCAUCGUAUUGAGAAGGGAACCGGUGUUCAGGAGUGAGACAGUAGUUGACUGAGACCACGACGGCGGGCAGUUUGAGUGCGAAUCUACGGCAAACAAUGUCGUAUGAUCUGGUUAAAGCGCUAAGAAAGGAAAAACCUCCUCCGUGAAAGAAAACCAUUACGGGGAGAAUAUUAUUGAUAGGUAUAGAGUCGUGAUGGAGCCCACUCGCACAACAACCGCAUAUAAUCUCUGUAUUACUUCCGAUGAGAGUGUAGAGGCGGAACAAUAAGUCGCGUGCGUCGUCGACAGGGAUAUCGGAGGAGAUAACAGAACGGAUAGGUUUGGUAGGGGAAGGAGCUGAUUUGAGAUCGAGGAAGCUGAGGAGGCGGCGGUUUAUGGUUCCGUCAGAACGGCGAGAUGUGUCGGAUAAGGUUGAGAUUAGUGAGACGACAAGACGCGUCCUCCAUGGAAGAGCAGAUUUUGCUGGUGGCACUUCUGCUUCAGGAUUUGCAAUUUUGCUGCUGCUCGUUGCAGCUUUGGUUUUUUCCUUUUUCUUUUUUUCUUUGGUUAUCACUUGUAAAAUGCGAAGGACCCAAGGCCAAGGUUAUAAAAGAAGGGGAGCUUCCGUUACUGUAGGUUCAUAACUACUAUAAGCAUAUCUUUCCAUGUUAAACUGUACUCAACGGGUGGUGACGUGGUGGUUGAAAAAAACUGAAAUCACAACGACCCACGUGGGUAACGCCUGUUUAUAGACGGCCACGCAACACCAUUUGUCUCUCCGGGCAGAUAGAAAUAUAGAUAAGCUAAUUUUUUUGAGAGAGAGAGAGAGAGAGAGAGAGCGAUGAUUUGGGUUCUUUAAUGUUCGGGUUGAUCGGUCGUUAGGCUUAACUUAUUGACUUUAUUAUGAUAGGAUUUGGACUUUGGAGGGUUGCCAAAAGCCGGAGGGGCCCAUUGGAGGGUUGCCAAAAGCUGGAUGGGCCCAUUUAUACUAAUUGCAAUAGUCAAAAGAUUUGGAUCAUGGAUUGCAUAGUUAUAUUGGGCCUGACAUUCAGUUCUAGCGGAAGUUCUCAGCUGACUCAGCGGAGAGGAUAUCAUCCCCAUUUCCCCUUCUAUCGUUUUCCUCCUGGAUUCGCGAGUAACAAAUUGCUCCUUCGUCUAUAGUUCUCUCAAUGUAAGUACACCAGUGCUUGUCUAUCUAAGCUUGUCUUUUUGUUACUGGUAUGAGUAUUGAAAUUAAGAUACAUGUAAAUAAUUGAAGGAAAAAAAAGACCAUGGCUUUGAGCUUUGAAGAAUCGAAUGUGGUGCAUUCGUUGCUAACAUCGGAGCAACGACCAAUGGACGAAAUUGUGUCGGAAUUCACCUCGAAAUUUGGCCGCGCUCGCUUUUUCUCUGUCUGCAACUCUCUCUUACUGCUCUUAGAGGCAAGUAAAACCCAUCUGUAUGCGUGUAUACCGUAUACUAUGAUGUUGUUUUCUUCUGUUCUAACAGUGAAAGUAUCCGAAUGGAUUAGGGUUAGGGAUUUGGCGUUUGAUGCUAAUAUAUUCUUGAUUUGGGGUUUAGUUAUCAUUUGAUUUCAACGUAUUUCACAAAAUCCAAUCAUAUAUUAAAUAUGCAAAAAGACAAAGCACUUAAUUCUAACUUGAAAAUUAAUAAUUCGUAGUCCCCAGUAGAACAUUUGUAACAUCACAUAACCUAAAUACAAGACAUAACACUUGUAGCACUGAUAUAUUAAUACUAGGUGUUAACUCAACACCCAUGAUUUACUACCUAAGUAAUCAAACCAUUUAUAGUUAAGUUAAACUCAUAAGAGCUCCUUCCAUUGUUCUUGUCCUGACCCUGCUCCACUAUUUUUACAAUAUCAGGAGCUACAGAUAGAAUUUUCAUGUGAAAACAAAAGGUUAGAAAGUAGAGAUCUAGAGCUUUUCAACUAUAUAUGCAAGGCCAAAUUUGGUUAACAAAUGAUUUCUGUGGAGCCUUUUAAAGUUACUGAACCAAAGCUGAAAAUUUUUGGUCUGCCAAGGCAGAAAAGAGUUUAGUGCUUUAGCACGGCCUAGCCAGGCCUGAGUCUGCUUCUCAUUAUAAUUUUUCAUCUUACGCACGUUCCUUCAAUCUUCCUUCAAUCUCCAAUCCGUCCUUUCAUCUACGCAAGGUAAAUACAGUCUGUUUUCGAGGCAAACUCACCAAGAGAUUAUGUUUAGUUGCAUCCACUUCCUAAUAUUGAAGCACAAGUCUGAGGUUAACCAGAAGAUGAUAAAAACCUAUCAUAUACAAACCAAAGCAACAUUAAACUUAAUAUACAACCAUACAACCACACUAAUUCCAUAUUAUGUUUACAACCAACACAAAUACAAGGCAUUAAAACGUACUCCAAAAUACUCCCUUCAAAUCAAAUAUCGAAGACUCCAAAAUUUCAUUCAUUAACCAAACAAACAUGCACAAGUGCCUAAGGUUGAGGAAAAAUUACAAUCAUUCCAAAGGUUUUAUCAUAGGGUUCAAGUAGAUUUGUAAACAAUAGGAAUUUCUUUUAUGCUUUUCUUUUCCCUUAGCUUGGUUCUGUAUCAUCAUGUACUUUAUUUUAAUAUUGUAUUGGGAUUUCGUAUGACUAUUUACUUGGUUUGCAUGCCUUAUGUUCCUUGUAAGUGUUAUAGGCAUUAUUCUUUAUGUCAUUACUCUACUUAUAUUAAUUCAACCAUAUGUCUGCAAUUCAAGCUUUAUUUGAUAGUAAGUGUAUGAAUAGCUGAUGAUAAGUCAUAUGUUACAUGACUGCAGGAUAACAAGAUGCUCAAGUCUACUGAACGUUUAAUUGCAUUUGCUAUUCUUCACCAGGCUUAUUCCUCUCAACCAACAUCCAUGAACCCAUUCAUAUCUUAUAUUGUAAAUGUAAGCACCAUGAUAGUUAUGAACAAAGCAUCAAGAGUGUCCAUUAUUAUUUUUAAUAUGGAGGCCAUAAAAGCAUCAGGAGUCUGCCAUCAUUAUUUUUAAUAUGGAGGUUCAUGUUAGACUAUCCUUCUGUUUUUGUAUAUGUAUCACAUAUGACUGGUUCUGUUUAUUUGCAGAGAUUUAACUUCUAUGUAUGCUUUUGUCAAGAAUCGAUGGUUUUUCAGGACACAAUAUUGAAGAAUUGACAUUUUCUUUUUUGGCCGACAAUUGAGGCUUAUACAUCAAAUUUAGGGCAUAUCGUCAAUAUUGUACAAUACUUUGUCAUGUUGAAAUAAAAUAGCUUCUGUUACAAUAUUUAGAAUCUGGAAUAACAUUAGCAGUACAUCUUGGGUUUCUUGUUUAAUAAUUAACCUUACAUGUUUCUGUGUAUCACUGUACUAUGCAUGUUUCCAUGUAUUGUCUCUCUCUCUUGUGUACAUAUUACAUAAGGAUGUUCUCAAUUCUGGUUUCAUUUAUGUUUUGUAUUUGUUUAAUUUUUUUAACAUGCAAUGUUAUCAUGUAUAGCAACAUUUCUAUCUUAAUUAGUUGUUAUAAUACCUUUCCUCUAUGGUGAUCAUGCAUUCUAGAUAGGGAUCUUUGUGCAGGCAUGAGAUAUAUCAGGUAUCUGCAUGCAAUGACCUUGUAUUGUGUCCUAUUUGUUAAAAAUUCCCCUAUCGUUAACUUCUCUAUGUAUUGUUGUCCUAUUGUUAAAAGUUCCCCUAUUGUUAAUUUCUCUAUACAGGGUUCUUGUUGUUUGUGCAGAAAGUAUUUGACACUUUGACCUCUUGGUUAACCCCCAAGACUAUGAAUUUCAUUUAGCUGGCCAAGUAUGUUAGAAAUCAAAUGAGCGUUUGAUUACAUCCAAGAGCAAAUGCAUGCGUAUUAUAUUAUUAUGAGCUUGCUGUCUUAAAUCAUUUACCUCUUGAUUCAAUUUUAUACUUCAUGAAUGUGAAAGGAUAUCAUCUAGUCUUCUUUCUGGAAUUUUCUUUUCUUCAUUUUUUUUUUUUAAUUUUUUUUUUGUAGUUUCUAUUUUCUGUGUAUCACAAUGAAAUUUGUCUCUUUCAAUUCUUUUUCUUUUUUAAUAAAGGUGAUGCAAUGACCAUAUUAUUUGUUAUUUUGCUGUUUAACUUUGCAAUGUCCAGGCAGCAUGUGAUGAUGAGGCUGAAAAAUGUGAGAGGGCGUUUCUUCUCCAAUUGUUAGGCUCUGGAAGCUCUACUGGUGGGAAGGAGGUAUAGCUUUCUUUAUACCUUUUUAUAUUAGAUGAUCUUGUAGCUUUGUUGAAUUCCAAAUUGGUUUGGGCUAUGAUGUUACAAAGGUUGGAAAAAUCUUUUGAUGCUUUGUUGGGGUUGAUGAAUAUAUCAGAUUAACAAUUUAUUACAGGGAUAAUUAUAUAUUUGGUGUUUGAACUUUUUUGGAAUUUUCUAUUUUGGCGUCUGAACAGAAAGUUUUAUAAUUAAGUGUCUAAACUAAUUAAAAUGUACAAUUGAGUGCAUAAUGCUGAUGUGGUUGCUGGAAUGCUUAUUUAGGCAAAAAUGGGACCCACUUUUUAUCUAGUUAGCAUUCCACAUGGUCUAGGUUCUCUUGCAUCAGAAAAUUUUUAUUUAUAAGAAUAAAAAAUAUUAAACAUUAAUUGUUGAUUAGCAUUUCCCUUUUUGUUUUUGUUAAAAUUCAAAUUAACAAUUGAUAAUUAUAAUUGCUUGUCUCUUUUAAGUAAUGCUUUUUAAUCAUUGCUUACACUUGGGCAUAUUUUACGAAGCCGUUGAUGUGUGUGAAGUUUUAAAACCAGGUUCCAUGUACUUUAGUUUGUCUUAGAUAUUUUUAGUAAAUUUAUGAAUAUGGCAAUACAUGGGCAAUUGGCUAAAGUCUUGAAAUGCUCACUCCAUUAGCUAGCUAGUGUGUGAUGGAUUAUUCAUUUUGAAGUUAUCGUUGCAGAGUAGAAUAGAAGAUUCAAGAUUUUAUAUUAUAGCUUGAAAUCCCAUUAUUACGAGUUCAGCUGUAUAGAAAUUGCUUAUAGCAGGUGACAGAAUAUAGAUCAAAAUGUUUUGGAGUUUGUGUCAUUACAUAUCUGAUAUUCUUUGCAAGAGUUGCCAAUCUAGUCUUGACUUUCAACUGGACUACUCUUUGUCAUAUUUGUUCUGAAUAAGAGCCUUCCAUUUUUUGCUUUUCUUUUUCCAGUUUCUUAAGCAUUCUGCUGCAAAUUACAUCAAGAUCUUUGAUUCUUCAGCUCAUGUAAGUUUAUAGACAAAUACUGUCACUUUUACGCAUACAGCUAUAUUUUUCAUUUUGUGUUGAUUAAGGCUUGGGAUCAAGGCUUAGUUGUUGUUUUUUGUGUUGAUAAAUUUAUCUCUUCAUUGUCAGGCUUUCCCACAACGUGAAGAGUUGCAGCAACAAUAUUGUGAUAAAGUCCAUUUUGAACCAUAUAAUAGCUUAUUUAAAAAUGCUACAGUGAAAAAUAUAGUGCCAGACCCUGAUGUACCCCGCAAUUGUGAUGCAAAUUCACAAGAGUAUGUUCCUUAAGAAUCUGGGAACUGUUUCAAGAGACAUCUUAUUUCUGCACUACUUGUUUUUGGGCUUUCUGUUGAGCUUAAAUUACUUCAUUUUUAUGCUUCUCAUAGAUAUUUCAUUAAUGGUUGCAUUGUAGGUUUGAUUUGCAACCUGGAGCUAAACCUAAACUUGGAUCUGGAGAUAGAGAGGAGAAUCUCACUGGGUUGUUGGUGCACUUGUCACUGGAGGGAAUAGGUCCACAGUGGAUCAGGCCUCAUCCACCUGUGUUACCAAUACAAGAUGGUGAGGUAAGGGCAUUAUGUGGAUGAAUAUUUGAUUGACUAGUUGAGUUUAUUUCUCUUUACUUACAUGUCUCUAGUUUCAUCCAGCUAGUGUGGCUUAACCCUGACAACAAUCAUGAGCUCUUGUGGGACCAUGGUAUGUGUGCGGAUACUAGCAAAGGAGCAGCUGUUAGGGACUUAAUCACAAAAGCCUUGAAGGGCCCAUUGGCUCCUGCACAACAAGAGGUCCUACAACUAUUUUU
RNAcentral lists this long non-coding RNA (51607 nucleotides) under Jatropha curcas. RNAcentral's name for it is "long non-coding RNA (JCUR_LNC003035)". The record is from RNAcentral. Lineage: Eukaryota; Viridiplantae; Streptophyta; Magnoliopsida; Malpighiales; Euphorbiaceae.